UUGUGUUUGGUGUUGCGAGGGCAUUAGAUAAGGCCCAAGGGACUAAAUCCCUAGUGAAUGAUGGAUAGGAGGUGCUAUCCAAACGUCCAAGGUUCUGGAGACAGGAGAAAUCCGUUUACCUGAUUUAGACAAAGCUAAAAAUAGGAUUUUGGCAAGGUUGGUGAUGGGCAUAUAAAGGCCCAUAAGUAGCAAUGUUAAUCCCGGUGUGUGGGAUUAUAAGGUGAGUAUGCCCAAAUUGAGGAACCACUCCCUAAGCUAUCAGGUAGGUUCAUCCCUAUGAAUACUUAUUAAGGCAUAGUAGAAGGUGCAAAGCUAUCCUCCUAGUCUGGAGGAGAAUAACCAAAAGAAAUAUAUAAAGCCAAAAGGCAAGUAAUAUUGGGAUGGAACUGAACCAUAGAAAUCGAAGGGCAUAACCGAUGGUGGUUAUGCAAGUUGGGAGUGGAGAAUCAAAAGGGUGUUCGAGGAUGUUGUUACUAGCAACCAUGAUGCCAUGGAGAGUCUAAAAUGUGGAAUUAUCCAUGUUAGACCAUAUGGUGAGUAGGAAGCUUCCAAAGGAGAAGCCUUAGCAAGCUAAGGAACAAAGUUCCUUGAAGGUUCCCAAAGACAAUUCUAGGUAGAUAAAUACCUAGAAAGCCAAGUGUGAAUGGUUCCUAGAGCUUGCGAAAUCAAAGUGGCACAACAAAAGCGUUGUCUUGGAACUGGCUAUAAGGCGAGGCUAUCAAGGUUGGGGAAGUAAUUCCCAAGUGUUCAAAGAAAGGGCUUUGAAUGAAAGUCGAUGGUUAAGGACUUUCAUGUUUAUGCAUGAACCAUGUUACGGUGGCCGAAUGACUUGCUAAGUGAGAUUGGCAAGUUAGGGGAACAAAUCCUCUAAUCGAAGGUGCUAACUUCAAAAGGGGUGGCCCAUAGGGCUGAGUAUGGAGGAGUCCAUGCAUGAUCAUAGAUUUGCCAGGUGAGAGGAUUUAGUAGUGCGGAGGAACUAGGUUCCUAAGCUGUUAUCUAUAGCAUGCUUUAAGUACAUGUAGGUGCACCGGCAUGGGGAGUCACGCCAGGCAUCCUGUGCGAUACCAUCUGUAGAUGCAUAUACGAAGGUUGGGUUCGAGUCCUGACCCUCUAGUGCUUGGGUUUAAGUCCCAAAUCACUAGGGCGUGGUGAUGGUUUGGAAUAUGAAGACACUCAUUUUUCAGUAGUCAUGGACUCUCAGUGAGGAGACUGGUUUGGGCACACUGCCAAGCGAGGGAUGCCUUGGAGUUGUGAUGCACAGUUAAAUUGUUUAGUGUGGCUCGGCAUAUCUAAUUUUAACAUCUUAGUGCGAGUGGCACCAAGGAUGUAGUGAAUGAGAUGGGGACACCUAAUCUCAGUUGCUAUGGACCCUUGGCCGUAAAGGUUAGCUUGGGUGCACCGCCAAGUGUGGGGGAUGCCCCCGGGGUCAUGGUCAACAACUUGAAGGUCUAGAAGACCAAGUACCUCUUGGCAACUCUGAUAAGGUGCCAAGGUGAGAUCACUAGGUGAUCUUGUGGCUAAAUAAGGACAAGGUCUUUGGUUGACUAAGGAAUGAAGUUCUUGGUUCAAAGUGUUGAUUUGAACUAUUUAUGAUGGUGGUGUUUGGUCAAGAUGACCAAGUGGGAAGAGCACCUAAGAGAAAUAAGCUGUGUCCAUGCAAUGGCAUAGUGAAUCUGAGGAAAAUAGUCUUUAUAAGAGACCUAUGGGAGGGUCACUAAAUUGAGCUAUGAAUAAAGCCAUAGCAGGAAAUGAUAAAGAGACAUACUAGGGGUAAAAGCCCUUUGGACUUAGUAAGCAAAGUCUUUGCUAUAAAACCGAAAGGAUACUUCAAGAAUGAAGGUAGCGAUCCGAUGUUGCUAGGUGCAACAAUCAAGGAUAGGAGCAAAAGACUAGUGGUUAAGAAAGGAGCCAUGGGAAUCAUAGGAAAGAAUCCAAAAUGCAAAAUUAAGCCAAGAAUACUAAUGUGUUGGGUGCUAAUGAAUUGUGGGAAAGGCGAUGUGUUUCUAAGGAUGGAUUCCCAAUUGCUCCGAUUUAGCGAAAGUGGAAGCUCCAAGAUAGGGAGCAGUAAAGUAGCUAAAUGAUAGGGAUGUGGACAACCCUAGCAUGAAUUAGGAUAACUGAAACUUAGUGCCAAAGGUCACACAAAAUGGGAAAGAGAAUGAUAGUGCCCUCAAAUAAAGAACUUCCAAAGAUGGGGAAGUGGAAUUGCAUAAUAUAUGCAAUGCAAGGUGUCGAAGACACUUAGGAAAUUGACUCUGACAAGUCAAAUUUAAAAGUUCUAGAGUGCAAGUUUAUAUCAAUAGGAACUGAGGCUACUUAAGAGUGAGUAGUGGGAUUGAGAUAGAGGAAGUGCCUCUAAUGGGUUUAGAAAUAACUAAACCAAUGAAAGGAAAAGAACCACCAUAGGUGGUCGAUCAAGUCUUUAUGUCAGAGAAGCUAUGUGCCUUAGAGGAUGGAGAAGGCAUAGUGAGCCUUCAGUGUCAUACCAUUGAUGAAUAUUGGCUAAAUGCUAAGGAUGGAAACGGUAAUACAUGUUAGUGUUACUUUAUAAAAAUGGUUUACCGUUCGAUGAGGACAUCGAACUUCGUCUAUGGGUGGUGGAGUUGUGAGACACAAAAUCCCUAGGCCCCAAAGUGGAGACAAAAGGGUGCCAUGUGGUAGUGGCCAAAGUGAAAGCCAAACGAACGUAACACGUUUGGACUAAAAUCUCUGACUUGAAAGGUCGAGAGCGGGAGUGAAACUCCCAACAAAGUGCUCAAAGAACAAGCACAAAGCAAGCAAUAAGUGAGUCUCUAGAAAAGGAGUCCGAGAUGGACCUGAGAUGGAGUCCAAGAUGGAGUCCGAGAUGGACCCGAGAUGGAGUCCGAGAUGGACUUGAGAUGGAGUCCGAGAUGGACUUGAGAUGGAGUCUGAGAUGGAGUCUGAGAUGGAGUCUGUCACGAAUGUGACUUCGGGUAUCGAAAGUUACCUGUCGACCAGUCCUUACGGACACUCUUACCUUACUGCCACGAUGGCAGGAGGUCGAUAUUGCUGGACCCUUUAUCAGUCCCUUUGGUGCUAGUGGAGUUAACUGGGCAUUUCGAGUGUACUUAGACCGGACGAACAUAAGGACGGAAUUCCUACGUGUUAUUAGCUAAGCAUACUUAGCCCGGUAAGGAGUUCCCGUCUCGUUUUGUCUUGCACUUGCUAGUGACAAGAACCCUCGCAUAUUGAGAUUGGUCCCUCAAUAUUGCUACAUGAUAGCUUACCGUGUUUGCCAAACACCCUCGCUAUCAUGCCCUUUGUGUUAGUCUCAUUUCGGUCCCAAAUGCUAUUUAUGGAAAGUGUCCUGAUUUGCUCAUUUGGCAUAUCUACAGAAUGUAGAGAUCGUUCUGAACACAAUGGUGUUCGUCCCGUGUCCAAAUUUGCAAUCUAGGGACAUUCCAUAUUUAGUAAGUUUCGAGCUUGUCCUAAAGACUAACUCCUGAUACUAAGGGAGGCUUGGGGUGAAAGCCCAAAGCGUGUGUUCUUCAAGGGGGGGGGGGCUAUAAGGGGUUCUAAAUGUAUAGUAGGGAUAGUGGGUAGGUCGGGCAUGGCCGACCAACUUGAGGCAUAGUCUAGCUCCCGCUUGUGUGCCUGUCCUUAUUUUGCAUCCGGCUUGGGUCUAAGCCCAAGUUCCAUUCCAUGCUAGUUGGUGGAGUACCCAUAUCCUUGCGUUAGGCCACCGGUAUGCCGAAAUAGCACCAGACUCUGUUUGGCUCCGUUUUGCGUGCUGGUCCUGGCAUUGGGAUGCUGGUUGCUCCAGGACUGUUCCAAGUCGCUCUGGGCUCCUAUCCCUUCGCUCAUUGGGCUUUAUGCUCGGGAGUUGCUCCGUGGUUCGGUUCCGUCAUUCCUUGGCUCCAUGCUUGGGAGUUUGGCACCGUUCCUUCGUUCAGUGGCCCAAGGCCCUGAACCUCAGGUUCCUAUGGACACGUGGCAUGGACAUGUGGCAUAUGACACGUGGCAUCUGUCACGUGGCACAAAGAGGUUUAGAGGUCCUAUGGUAAAUCAUCAUAGGAUAAAGGGUCAAAACCACGUGCGCUACAGAGUCCGAGAUGGAGUCCGAGAUGGACCUGAGAUGGAGUCCAAAAUGGAGUCUGAGAUGGAAUCCGAGAUGAAGUUCAAGAUGGACCUGAGAUGGAGUCCGAGAUGGAGUCUGAGAUGGAAUCCAAGAUGGAGUCCGAGAAGGACCCGAGAUGGAGUCUGAAGUUGAGAUCGAGACCGAGACUAGGACCGAGACCGGGACCAAGACCGAGACCGGGACCAAGACCAAGACCGAGACCAAGAUCGAGGCCAAGGCCGAGACCGAGCCCAAGCCCGAGUCUGAGUCCGAGUCCGAGUCUGAGUCCAAGUCUGAGAGGGUGAAAGCCCAAAGCGUUCAUCUCCCAGACCCUAGGGGGUUUGGUGAGCUUCAAAAGUAUAGUAGGGAGAGGACUCCAGUGGAGCCAGUUUGGCCAGGAAAGGCCAGUUUGUCCCAGGAAGGCUAUACCCAGGUUUGGUGAACUCCAAAAAUAUAGUAGGGGGAGGACUCCAGUUGAGCCAAUUUGGCCAGGAAAGGCUAGUUUGUCCCAGGAAAGCUAUACCCAGGUGUUGGGUGAUAGGAUAACCACUGGGAAGUCCAAAGCUAGAGUGAAUACGGACCGACAAGUGGGGUAGCUUGGUGAAGUGUUCAAGAGCUAGCUCUAGUUCCCCCGGGAGAUCGAAUGGUCGAUGCUCCCAGUCCAAGUGUGGGUGGCACUACCUACUUGGAUACCUAGCAUAACUCAAUGGAACCUCGCUCUAAGCCCAUGGUUAAAGCACCCAAAGGUGGAAGGUGAGGAGAGUACCCAUGAGGCUCGCGUAGGGCCACGGUGUUCCGAAAUGUUGUCCCAAAGGCCUAGACUGUGAAAAGGAAGAGGAGUAGUCGUCUGAUGUAGUGAUCAAGGAUAUAGUCGGGUGGUGAGGAAGUCCCAAAGGACCGUGGGACUUAGUGGUCGAGCCUGUGGGCCUCGAUCCAGUGGCAGUGUUGGCGAAUAUGGCCAUGGGCAGCAAAGGACUUGGUGGGGACCAGAAAAGGGAUAUUGAGGAAGGCUAUUCCCCAUAUCUGUGGGCAUCCUAUGGAUGCUAAGGAGUGGAUCUGGGAUGAUCACUCAUGGACGGAUGGCUCAGUCUUUGGGAGACGAGACUGUGAUGUAAGUGGUGUCAGACCACCAGUGUGACCAAAGUGACUGGGCAUGGCCUUAGCGUAACGGGCUAAUAUGUCGAUGGUACCUUGGAGACAAGUUGGUGGAUAAAGGGUAUGUUAGGUUAAUCAAGUUGUUAUAUGGGGCACUAAUGUUAUUUGUGAAAAAGAAAGAUGGACCUAUACGCAUGUGUAUAGACUACCGGUUACUAAACAAGUAUAUAGAAAAGAACAAAUACCCUUUACCAAGGAUUGAAGACUUGUUCGAUAGGAUGGGAAAGGCAAAAUACUUCUCGAGGAUUGACCUAAGGUCAUGGAGAAAGAGGAAAAAGGCAAGCUCAGAAGUUCAAGCUUAGGAAUACAAAUUUGAGAGGUUCUGUAAGUGACUAAAUUUUCCAAUCUACUUUAGUCACUUAACCACACCUUUCACCACUUGGAGGAGUCCCACUCACAACCUCUGUAAAUCCUAGUUUGGACUUAGGGACUUGCUAGCCCCAAAGAUGGCAUCCAUGCCAUUCAACCAUUGCACUUGGUCCAAGUGCUCCACAUGUCCAAUCUCAUAACCGACACCAGUUAGCACUUGAGCUCCUUGCGUUUCUUUUCGUUCAAACAAUAGGGGGGACAAACCAUAGCCUUAGCAUCUUUGACCAGCUCAAUUUUAUAUUUUAUCAGUCAUGAAGGGGGUAACACUAGCUCCUCCAGCAUGGUAUCUUGGAAUUGGUCCAACACUUACUAGAUCACUAAAGUUACUUCUUUUGUUCCCAUCUUUUUAUCACUCCUCACCGAGAAUAAGUAUAAAAAUGUUGCCUUGGUUCCUUUAGUGAGUUUUCCUCUUGUGAACAUCAGGUUCAAAUAGGAGUCGUUGGCCUUACAUUGCCCUACCUUUAAAUCCUAAGCCUCCACCCUGGAUUGUUCUCCCUGAGCAUUUGCCAGUACCACAAGGUUUCUACCUUGUCCAUGCAAGGCUACUACGAACUGAUUGAACCAAUCCAUCCCGAAGAUUAUAUCAAAUCCCGCUAUGUCCAACACGGUGAAAUCCAUGUCUACUUUCCAUGUCCCUACUUCGACUCUUGCUUGUUGAAGUACCUCAUUGGUGCUUUGGCUACCUUGAACAAUCCUUGGUUCCUCAGCCUCUACACUGUUAGUCCGGCUCACCGGACUAUGUCUGCACCCACAAAAUUAUUUGAAGCACCCAUGUCAAUAAAGAUCUUAACAAAGCUACCUUUGAGUUUCCCUUGGAGGGGUAGUAAAUGUCGCGAACGACUCUUUAACAAGGUUGCUCAUGUAAUGAGUAACUUUGAGCUAAGGACUGGAUCAUGUACCUCAAUUUGGUUUUUAUCCGACUUAAUGGCCAUAUUGACUCUGACCUUCUUCAGGUAGGGACAUUCCCUUGAAAAAUGUCCCACUUCACCACAGUUGAAGUAUAUAUUGUUUCCCAUGCUACUAGUAGAGUUGACAUGAUUAUCCAUGAGUUUGUCCCUCUUUGCUUGACUCCCCCAUGUACUUGCUCUUUGGCCACCAGAUCUGCCUUAUUGAAACUCUAAGGACUCGUUUUUAGAAAAACUCUUCUUGAAUUUUCCUUUGCCAUAUGUUUCCCUUGGUUUGGCCCCUUUGCUAAAUGUAGACCCUGACUCCAUUAUGUUCGCCUUUCACAUGUUAUCAUUGAAAUGUGUAAGGAACCAACUCGCCAAGGUGUCGUAGGCUAAAGGAACCCCAAAAGCAUGACCAAAAUGACAAAGAGUUCAUCGGAUGGGACCAAGUCGAAGAUUGAGUCCAAGACCGACUCGGAGACCGAGUUCAAGAUAGAGUCUGGAAUCGAGUUCGAGGCCGACUCGGGACCGAGUUCGAGACCGAGUUCGUGUAAGCCACAAAUUUUUCCUUUCCAAUUUGCCAGCUUACCUCGUCUAUCCGUCCAACACUGCCUUGGCUUUUGCUAAGUCCCCUCGCCAAGGUUCUCGCCUAUGGUACCAGCUCCUACUUGGUUUCAGCUACUCACUGCACGAGCAACGGGGCGUUAGCCAUCCUUCCACGGAUUCCCAAAUCACUCCCAAUCCCCCUCCCCGGGUUAGACUGGACUUAAGGUUCGGCUACACUCCCCGCAAGCACAAGCAGCCAAGCACACCAAGCUUCCAGGUUCCUAACAUCCCUUGGUACCACAAGACUUGAUCAUGGGACCCUCUAAAUCCCAAGUCUUGAGUGCAACACUUGCUUCGGGAUGCCGGGGCGAAACACCGUGGCCUAACGGCCCGGUAUGGGUACCUCUCGCCCCCCACUUCCAUCCCGAAGGANNNNNNNNNNNNNNNNNNNNNNNNNNNNNNNNNNNNNNNNNNNNNNNNNNNNNNNNNNNNNNNNNNNNNNNNNNNNNNNNNNNNNNNNNNNNNNNNNNNNAGACUAAGUCCAAAUGCUUAUGGGGGUCAAGGGGUGAAAGCCCAAAGUGUGUGUCUCCCAGGGGGGGGGGGGCUGCAGGGGGUUCCAAAAGUAUAGUAGGGAUAGUGAGGUCUAGGAACCAAUUUUGAAGGGACUCUUCAGUGGGGCUUCCAAACUGACUUGAGGUUGAGACUGGGACCGAGGGGCCUUGGGUGGGAGUGAGCAUGGACUUGGUUGGUGCCGAAGGGGCCAUCCAAGGAAGUGCUCAAGAGCAGCUCCCACUCCCGAAAGGGAAACCAAUUGCGGUGCUCCCGGCUCAUGUGGAGUGGUGCCCCACUUGAGUACCAUGCGGCUCAUUGGUCCUCGCCCUUCCUAGGAGCUUGGACCUUCCCUUCGGGAUGGAAGUGGGGGGGUAGAGGUACCCAUACCGGGCCGUUAGGCCACGGUAUUUCGCCCCGACGUCCCGAAGCAAGUGUUGCACUCAAGGCUUGGGAUUUAGAGGGUCCCAUGAUCAAGUCUUGUUGUACCAAGGGGUGUUAAGAACCUGGAGGCUUGGUGUGCUUGGCUGCUUGUGCCUGCGGGGAGUGUAGCCGAACCUUAAGUCCAGUCUAACCCGAGGAGGGGGAUUGGGAGAGAUUUGGGAAUCUGUAGAUGGGUGGCUAACACUUCGUUGCUCGUGCAGUGAGUAGCUGAAACCAAGUAAGACCAAGUAGGAGCUAGUACAAUAGGCGAGAACCUUGGCAAGGGAACUUAGCACAAGCCAAGGCAGUGUUGGUCGGAUAGACGAGGUAAGCUGGCAAAUUGGAAAGGAAAAAUUUGUGGCUUACAAAAUGCACCUUAAUAGUUGCAUCCAAUGCUUUUUUGUAGUUGGUCAGGUUCCAAUGCAUCACCUCGCCUAAAGUCCAAAUCUGUAAACCUGAUAUAAAGGCAUGGAAUGCAUCUAUAUUGCCCAUGUCUAUGACAAGGAUCCUUUUUGCUAUAAACUCAUUCACAUACUCUUGAAUGGUUCCUGCUUGCUUUAGCCUGCUUAGCUCAUCCCUUAGGUGUAAAGUAGCAUUCGACAAAAUAUAGGUUAUACGGAUCCUCACCUUCAUCAUUUCCCAAGUGGCCACUGGUCUUUCACUAGCCUUUGUUGGUCUUCACCAAGACUUAAUAUUAUCUGCCAAGUAUGGUUUCGCAUAUGGGACAUUCUUUGAGCUUAGUAACUACAGCGCUCGAAAGUAAUCCUCCAUAUGGUAAAACUAAUCCUCCACUACUUUAUAGUCAUUCCCUGGGGGUGAUUCCACUUUAGUUUGUUCAACUUUGUUUAGUUCUGCCUCAAUCCCCACUAAAGGGUCCACGCCUUCUGUGCUACCAACAUCUGUAGUCUUUUGCUUUUUCUUUUACUUCUUAUCAUGCUUUAACUUGCAUACAAGAGUCUCUAGUAGGGCAUUGGUCUGUGCCAAUUGUCUUUUUAGAAUGUCCAAUCGAGCCUUGUUUAUGGACCCUUUCCCUCUAUAUUUGAACCCCUAUGGAUCGUUUCUCGAGUCAUUCCCUUUGGUUGCUUUUGCAAUUGGUAUGUGUUAGUUGUCCUUCUAGAAUAUCCAAUUGAGCCUUGGAGAACCGAACCUCACCACCGAACUCUUGUUUAGAAGUUUUCGCACUAGAGUUCUCCUCAUACAAGGAUACCUCAUCUAUAGGUUCUUGUUCGACCAGAAGCUCCAGCUUUGAAAGAGGUUUUAUCUCCCUUUUGGUUCUUUUAUGCCUUACCUUUGCCAUCUCCUAGCAAUCCACCUUUAUCCUUCCCUAGAAUUGAGGAAAACGCUUCGAUACUAAAUUGUAAGCUAUAAGUUUUUCCUUUUCAAUUUGCUAACUUACCUCGUCUAUCCAACUAACAUUGCCUUGGCCUUAGUUCAGUUUCCUUGCCAAGGUUCCCGCCUAUUGUACUAACUCCUACUUGGUCCUAUUUGGUUUCAACUACUCACUGCAUGAGCAAUAGAGCAUUAGCCAUCCAUCCACGGAUUCCCCAAAUUUCUCCUAAUCCCCCUCCCAGGGUUAGAGUGGACUUAAGGUUCGGCUACACUCCCCGUAGGCACAAGUAGCUAAGCACACCAAGCCUCCAGGUUCCUAAUGUCCCUUGGUACAAUAAGAUUUGAUCAUGGGACCCUCUAAAUUGCAAACCUUGGGUGCAAUAUUUGUUUUGAAACACUAGGGGGAAACACUAUGGCCUAACAGCCCAAUAUAAGUACCUUUACUCCCCCAAUUCCAUCCCGAAGGGAAGGCCCAAGCCCCUAAGAAGGGCAAGGAAUAAUGAACCGCAAGGUACUCAAGUGGUGCACCACUCGAUAUGAGUCGAAAGCACUACAGUUAGUUUCCCUUUCGAGAGUUGGAGCUACUCUUGAGCACUUCCUUGGGUGGCCCCUUUGGCACUACUCAAGUCCAUACUCACUCCCACCCAAAGCCCUAAGUGGCCCUAGUACUCCAGCCACUAAAACAGCAACUUCCUUUUUAAAUUUACAUCACGACUAGAACAAAGGCUUUUGGAGUAUGUGUUUGCCAACAUUCAGAACCUGGCAAGCCACCACAUACAACAUACUUGCCUCACAUUCAUUCAAGGAGACUAAGAAGAAGUAUGUUGAUGCAAAAAAAGAAGUAGUGGCUGUUGUUUACACCUUGGAGCGAUUUUGUCACUUUCUUGCUGGAGCCCAUAUCCAUUUCCACAUCUGUUUUAAUGUGUUGACCUUUCUUUUAUAGUGAUUGGUUCACAAUCCUCAUACUUUAUCUAGGAUUGUGACCAUCCAAGAGUUCCAGCCAACUUUUCAUAUGCAGCGGAAGCGUGUGAUGGAUCUGAGCAAGUUCCUGGUUGCUAAGGCUACCUCCUUUGUGGCCCCAGCAGCAUUACAAGACAUUGCCAUGUACCUAGAUUCAAGCAAGUUCCCAAAAGAUUCCUCACCAGCACAACAAAAGGUGUUGGAAAUCCGAGCAUGGUGGUUUUGCCUUCUCGAUGGACAUGUUUAUAGGAGGACUUCUCAGGAUGUUUUGUUGUAGUGUGUGGGUGAACAUGAAGUCCCUGAGUUCCUUCAUGCUUUCCACUCUUGUGUGGGGCAUUUCUCGCACAACUUGGACAGCACAACUCCUCUUGUGCCAUAGCUACUUUUGGCCUCGAAUUCACCAGGACAGCUUGGACUAUGCAAAGGCAUGUGAGCAAUGCCAAUGGUUCAACCCCUGGAGCCAUGUUCCAUGUCUUCCUUUUUAGCUCGUCACUUCUUUGGGUCCCUUUUUCCAAUGGGGACUUGACUUCGUUGGCCUGAUCAACCCACCGAGCUCAAAAGGACAGCGAUACAUCAUUGUGGCAAUGGACUACUUCACGAAAUGGGUUGAGGUCAUCCUUCUACAACAAGUAGAUAAAUAGUCUAUAGUGAAGUUUGUCUACAAGUACAUCAUUUGCUGAUUUGGAGUUCUUGCAAUUCUGAUUUCUAAUUAUGGUGGCAGCUUCCUUAGACAAGUGAUGCAGCAUCUUUUCUAGCAGUUGUAGGUCAAGCACAUGAAGAGCAAUAGCUACUAUCCUGAGUGCAGUGGCCAAUCAAAGUUUAGUAACAAGACAUUGAAGACCAUCAUCUUAAAGUUUGUAGAGGAUCACUCGAAGUGUUGGUACAAGCACUUGGUUACGGCAUUGUGGGCCUUUUGGAUGUCCUUCAAGAUAUCCAUCUCAGUGACUUCAUUCUCCCUCAUCUAUGGGAUGGAAGCCAUGCUUCCAGUGGAGAUCCAAGUGCUAUCACUCUCACUUUUGCUUUGAUAUGCAGUGGAGAUGUAGCUUAGUGAUGAGGACACACUUUAUGUGCAUGACUUGGAGGUUCUUGCCUUGGAAGAACAACGAUGAGCCACAACUGAUCAUCUCCUUUGAGGCAAGGAGAAGAUCAAGUUUGUCAUUGAUCACCAAUAGUCCACUGAACCAUUCAAGGAUAGCAAUCUUGUUCUACUCAAGGAGUUCAUGCCACCUUCAAAGUUCUCUCCUCGUUGGAUAGGCUUCUACUUUGUCCAGUGACACAUUGGAGGUGGAAUAUAUGUGGUAGUAGAUGCUGAUGGAUGUGAGCUCCCACAUGCUCUCAACCACUCUCAUCUCAAACGCUUCAUCUGGUGAGGCAUUCCUCUUUUAUUCUUUUUCUUUUGCUUCCUUUCUUUCACUUUACUUUCACAACUUCUUUUCUUAUUUUCAGAGGGUGUUUUUUCACUGGACCAUGGCUCUUGCCUUGGAUUUCAUGCUCAAGCUGCAUUGUUAUUUAUAUGGAGGUUCCUCACUUAGCUCAAGCUAUGUUCCAGGUUCUUUGGCCCUCUUACCAUUACUCUACCCCACACAUUCCCCACACAUGUUUCAUAUCAUCUACAUUCACAGAUUUAUCACCAAUCGCUUCUAGUAACAUUGCUUGCACUUACUUCUAUUGGGGGAAGGAGGGGUGCCUCCUCUAACGCUUACUCAAACAUAAGAAGUGCAAUAAUGCUUUUCACAAAUGCUUCUCUUUGCCCUUAUGAGGCAAGGGUUUUAUACAAGGAAGAUGGGGAAUAUUCUAGGAAUCAGAAUAUUUCCUCUCUCACACUCUCUAAGUGGCCACACCCUAAUGUGACCACGAUGGGUUGCGCUGACUCUAGAUGCACGAGAACUCUCUAAAGAGUGUAGAGUGUACCUCUAUUGCUGAUGCCAAGUGUUGGUAACUUCAUGAACUAAUAGAAACUCUAGAAAACAAAGUGGGAAAAUAAAGAAAUGGGGUAGGUGUAACGUUUGAAAAUAAGGAGGAAAACCCAAUGGGAAACCUUGUAAUCAAACUAGACCCUAGGAGCUGGUUGAAGGGAGUAUCGGAUAGAUAAUAGCUAGUUUAGAAACUAUAAAAGCAAAGAGUGUUCUUGGCCCCAUUUGACUCAAAGUUUUUGUGUCAACCUUGUGUAAACAACCAAAGGGAACAACUCAAGAGACAAUCCAUGAGGUUCAAAUAUAGAGGGAAAGGGCUCAUGAAUAAGAGUGCACCCUUUUUUCCAAUUAGUUAAGGGUCUGGGGAUAGUUGGGGUUGAGUGUCUUUAGGUUUGAAUAGUACUAAAUUGGGUGACCUCCCAGAAAGUCUAGAUUCAAGAGCUUACACCCCAGUUGAAAUUUGGAAAGAUAUUGAAGUGUUAGGCCAAUAUAUCAAAAUCCAAAUGAAGAACUCGGAACCUAGAUACGACUUUUGUCAAUGCACUAGACACCACAAGGAGGCCUACUCAAUCAAGAAAAAUAGGCUAGCCUCUCAAAAGCCUUUUAAGCUACUGGAAGAGUAAGAGAAGAUCUUGAAGGCAUGCCCUUUAAACCAAGCUCCCCACAUUCGCUUCCUAGUUGCCCCACCACUCGUAGGCUCUUCAACUAUUUAAGGAGCCUAUCACUAAUGUCAAAGGGGAUGGCUUCCAGCCGGUCCUCCCUUGGAUAGUAGGAAUGACAGUCAAGUGGAUUCUGCUUAAGCGGGAAUUAAGUCAGGAGAUGGGAGAUUGGCUGAUGCUGGCUGAUAUGCCGCAGGAGCACAACCUUCCCAAAGGUCAUUAACAUUGGCGACUACCAAACACACAUGGAGAGUGUUAUCACUAAGUGGAUAGGCUUUGUAAAAUACACUAUCUGAGGCUUCUUAUAGAUAAAGUACAAGGGGAAGAUGACUACGGUGUGGACCAUCUCCAUAGAAUGGAGGACGAGACCCUGCAACACCUCAUUUUCUUGGAAGUAUAUGGCUCCAUGAUAACACUCAUGAUCAUCAUUUGGAAAUGUCGGGGACUUAGUUGGGGAGUCGACUCAAAUAAAGGGUGCAGCUCAAGUCCCACAUCCGCGAGAUCAGCUUAGAAGGAGGCAUCAACAUCUUAUGUUUACAGGAGCACAAAAUGACCGAGGUGUAAGGAACCAACUCCUUGAGGUGUUGUAGGCUAAAGGAUCCUCGAAGGCACGACUGAAAUGAUAAAGAUUUCAUUGGAUGGGACUGAGUCUAAAAUCGAGUCCAAGACCAACUUUGAGAUCGAGUCCGAGAUAGAGUCUGGGAUCGAGUCUAAGGCUGACUCUAAGACCGAGUUUGAGAUUCGAGAUCAGGUCUGAGAUUGAGUCCAAGGUAGGGUCCGAAAUAGAGUUCGAGAUCGGGUCUGAAAUCAAGUUUAAGACCAAGUCCAAGGUCGGGUCCGAGAUGAAGUCCAAGAUCAAGUCUGAGACCGAGUCCGAAUACUAAUACAUGUCGUGGGGUGAAAGCCUAGUGUCUCCCAAGAGGGGGGGGUGGUUGCAAAGGGUUCCAAAAGUAUAGUAGGGAUAGUGAGGUCUAGGAACUAGUCUUGAAGGAGCUCUCUAGUGGUUCUUCCAAAUUGACUGGGCUCAAAGCGUCUCCAAUCAAGUUGUGAAAGGCAUGGGUCAUAAAGUGCUGAAAAGUAGCUCCAGCAUUACACAAGCCAAACAAUAGGACGUAGAAACAAAGACGUGCCAAGGUGUUCUAAAGGCCAUAAAAUCUCAAUGAUUGGGAUGAAUGAAGAUCUGGUUAUACCCUAAAAAACCAUCCAUAAAAGAGUAGUAACGAUGUCCAGCCAUCUCAUCCACAAUCGCAUCAAUAAAUGGAGUCGGAAAGUGAUCUUUUGCAGUUACCUUGUUCAAGUCUCAAAAGUCAACAUAGAGGUGGAGCUUUUCAUUUGCCAGGACAAGGUUGGCCACCCACUCUGAGUUCUCCAAAGGGUAAAUAAAGCUGGAUGCCAGAAGUCGCUCGAUCUCCAACUUCAUCUCCAAGUGAGCUGCUGGGCUUAAAUGCCAGAUAUUUUGACGGGCUGACUCUAAAAGCAUAAUACUAUGCAUGAUUGUGUCCAUGGCUGUAGUCCUAAGCAAACAUGUCCUUGAAAUAGUGAAGGAUAUCCAAGAGCUUUGCCACAUCUACUUAAGUGAUGUGGUAAUAAAGACCAGGUCCUUGUCAUCAUUGAGGAAAAUGAAUAAAGAGAGUGAGGUUGAGAGAUGUCCACCACUGUCUAACUCACCUCCAACAAUAUUAAUCACAUUGCAUGAGAAAGCAUCCUUCACAUAAAUGGUUGACUCCAUUGCCAACUCAAGGAAAAUCUCUAUGAGCUCAGGAGGAAAGUGUGGUGUGGAGAUUGUUUUAGCCUGAGCCUUCUAGGCGUGCUAAGAAAGAGCUUUGCCAUGGUUGUUGAGAAAGGUGGUGCUAUGGAUUCCAUCAUUAAUUUCCAUCUUACCUUCUGUGUUGUUGAUGGUGCAAUGGGCUACAACUUGCCACAAGAGGCCAAAGAUGAUAGAUUCCUUCAAAGAGGAUGUUCCAAGACACUGGUAGUCAACCACAAGGAAAUUUACCUCGGAAAUAACACCUUGCACUGAGACCUUGACACUAUGAGACACAAAUCCCUAAGCCCUAAAGUAGAGUUGAAAGGGUGCCACAUGGUAGUGGUUGAAGUGAAAGUCUAAUAAGCAUAACGUGUUUGGACUAAAGGCUUCGACAUGGAAAGUCGAGAGUGGGAGUGAACUCCGAACAAAGUGUNNNNNNNNNNNNNNNNNNNNNNNNNNNNNNNNNNNNNNNNNNNNNNNNNNNNNNNNNNNNNNNNNNNNNNNNNNNNNNNNNNNNNNNNNNNNNNNNNNNNNNNNNNNNNNNNNNNNNNNNNNNNNNNNNNNNNNNNNNNNNNNNNNNNNNNNNNNNNNNNNNNNNNNNNNNNNNNNNNNNNNNNNNNNNNNNNNNNNNNNNNNNNNNNNNNNNNNNNNNNNNNNNNNNNNNNNNNNNNNNNNNNNNNNNNNNNNNNNNNNNNNNNNNNNNNNNNNNNNNNNNNNNNNNNNNNNNNNNNNNNNNNNNNNNNNNNNNNNNNNNNNNNNNNNNNNNNNNNNNNNNNNNNNNNNNNNNNNNNNNNNNNNNNNNNNNNNNNNNNNNNNNNNNNNNNNNNNNNNNNNNNNNNNNNNNNNNNNNNNNNNNNNNNNNNNNNNNNNNNNNNNNNNNNNNNNNNNNNNNNNNNNNNNNNNNNNNNNNNNNNNNNNNNNNNNNNNNNNNNNNNNNNNNNNNNNNNNNNNNNNNNNNNNNNNNNNNNNNNNNNNNNNNNNNNNNNNNNNNNNNNNNNNNNNNNNNNNNNNNNNNNNNNNNNNNNNNNNNNNNCGUCGGCGUCAGCUUGACACAUGGCAAGUGUUCAGAACAAAGUCUAAGAAGGAGUCCGAGAUAGAGUUCAAGAAGGAGUCCAAAAUGGAGUCCAAGAUGGAGUUUGAGGAGUUUGAGAAGCAGUUUGAGAAGGAGUUUGAGAUAAAGUCCGAGAUGGAGUUUGAGAUGGACCCAAGAUGGAGUUCAAGAUGGAGUUUGAGAUGGACCCAAGAUGGAGUUCAAGAUGGACUUAAGAUGGAGUUUGAGAUAGACUUGAGAUGGAGUCUAAGGUCGAGUUUAAGAUGGAUCUAAGAUGGAGUCCGAAGUCAAGACUGAAAUCGAGAGUGAGGUUGAGACCGAGACCGAGACUGAAUACGAGUAUGAGUCUAUGUCCAAGUCUAAAUCCAAGGGUGAAAGCCCAAAGCAUUCAUCUCCCAAACCCAAGGGGGUUUGGUGAGCUGUUCAAGAGUCAGCUGUAGCUCCCUCGGGAGAUCGAAUGAUCAAUACUUCCAAUCCAAGUGUGGGUGGCAUUACUUACCUGGAUACCUAGCAUGGCUCAUCGGAACCUCACUUUAGCCACAUAGCUAGGGCACCUAAAGGUGGAAGGUGGAAAGAGUACCCACGAGGCUCACGUAGAGCUAUGGUGUUUCAAAAUGUCGUCCCAAAGUCCCAAACUAUGGAAAGGAAGAAGAGCAGUCCUUUAGUGUAGUGAUGAAAGAUACAGUCACAUAGUAAGGAAGUCCCAAAGGAUAGUAGGACUUAAUGGUCAGGCCCUUGGGCCUGAACCCAAUGGCAGUGUUGGUGAGUCCGGUCAUUGAUGAAAAGGGACUUGGUGGGGAUAAAAAAAGGGACAUUAUGGAAUGGUGUUCCCUAUGUCUCUGGGCAUCUUAAGGGUGCUAAGGUGUAGUCAAGCGAUGACCACUCAUGGAUGGAUGGCCCAGUUUUUGAGAGACAAAACUAUGAUAUAGGUGGUCUUGGACUACCGAUGUGAUAAGGGUGUGAGCAUGGCUUUAGCAUAAUAGGCUGAUUUGUCAGUGGUACCUUUGGGUGUCGGUCAUAUGAUUGGACACGUGGAACACUUGGACCAAGUGCAAAGGCUAAGUGGUAUAGAUGCCAUUCACGAGGCUAGCAUGUCCCCAAGGAGUCCUUACGUCACAAAAGAAAGUGGAGUAUUAAGCAUGUCUCACUAGAGUAUAAUGGCAUUAAAGAUGUGUGGUUUGGAAAAGGAGUUCAACCUCUAAUUGUUAUGCUCUUUCCUACAUCUUUGAAGCUGGCUUGGAAAAACACUUUUAAGAUAUUUUCUGUUUGUUCAUAAGUUGGGGGACCAAGGCAUAUGUGGGGUAGAAGCAAUAGUAUGGGAUAUACUUGAUGAGUUUUCCAAUGUUUUUCCAUCUGAACUUCCAUUACGAAGUAUGGAGCAUGGGAUUACAUUAGAGCUAGAGAUGUGGCCAAUUUGUUGGCAUCUAUUUCAAUUGAGUUAUGUAGAGGAGCAAGAAGUUCAACGAUAAAUUAAAGAGUUACUUAAGUUUAGAUUUAUUCAGCUAAGUAAAUCUUUGUUUGGUGCUCUGGUCUUGCUUGUGAAGAAGAAGGACAACUCAAUGCAGAUAUGUAUUGACUAUUGUGCCUUGAACAAGAAGAUAGUAAAGAAUAAAAUGCCAAUGCCGCAUGUGGAUGAUAUCCUAAACAAGCUUGGUGAAGCACGAGUGUUUACCAAGAUUGAUUUGAGGAAUGAAUAUCAUCAAAUUGCAAUGGAUGAUGCAUCUAUCUCCAAGAUGGCAUUCAACACGAGCUUCAUGAAUUUUGAGUUUAGAGUUAUGUUGUUUGGUUUGACAAAUGUACUAGCCACAUUUACUCAGUUGAUGACAGAGAUAUUUAGGUGUUAUCUUCAUAAGUUUGUGGAGAUUUUCUUGGAUGAUAUUCUUGUUUUCAGCAAGAAUAUAGAGGAGUAUAAAGUGCAUUUAUGCAAGGUUCUUUUGUUACUAUGUGAUAGCAAACUUUAUGUGAAGAAAAGCAAAUAUAAAUUUGCAAAGUUGAAGGUGGAAUAUCUAGGCUAUAUUGUGACAUCUAAGUUGUUAAAACAAAUCCAAGGAAGGUGACUGUGGUGGAAAAUUGGCCUACACUAACUUCAAUAACCGAGUUAUGCACCUUCAUUGGUAUGGCUAGUUAUUACCGAUGUUUCCAGCACAAGUUUGCGGAGGUGGCUAUUUCAUUGAUACGGUUAUUGUGUAAAAAUGUGCUAUUUAAGUGGAAGAAGACACAUGAGAAGAGUUUUGUGGCAUUGAAACAAUUGUUGAGUGAGGCUUUAGUGCUUCACAUUGUUAAUCUAUCAAAACUUUACAAGGUGACAUAUGAUGUAAGUGGUUAUGCACUAAGAGGAGUCCUCAUGUAAAAGGGAUAAUCUGUUGCAUCUGGGAGUUGAAUUUUGAAUCCCACGAAGCAAUGUUUUUCCACAUAUGAGUAAGAGUUACUCUCUAUUGUUCAUACUUUGCAGACAUAGCAGCAUUAUUUUUAUAGUGCAAUAUUCAUGGUGUUGAUAGAUCAUAAACCUCUUGUGUUUCACACAAAAGGAGUUGAACAUUAGGCAAGUUCUUUGGAUGGUCAAACUCAUGGAGUUUGGCAAACUUUCUAUUGAGCAUCAUCCAGGAAAAUUAAAUGUGGUGGUAGAUGUUUUAUUUCGUGUUUUUUAUGUGAUGGCGUUAUAAACAUGGUUUUGUUAUCAUUUGAGUAAGGUGGUCAGCAAGUUUGGGCAGUGAGUGUGCUUAGGCUCAAGAUGCUAAGGUGGUCUCUUUGCGAACCCAUAUGGAAGCACCUUUUUCAUUGGUGGAUGGGAUUCUUUAUUAUAGUAGCCGUAUAUAUUUACUACGGGUGGAUGCAUUAAUUCCUCAAAUUUUAUUCCACUAUCAUGAUUGCCUAGAAACUAGUCAUUUUGGGGGAAGACAUAUGAGUUGAUUAAGUGCAAUUUUUAUUGGAGGAAUAUAAAGCUAAUAUCCCUGACUAUAGUAAAUCAUAGGAGCUUUGUUAGUGAGUAAAGGUGCCACAGGAGAAGCCAAGGGGAUUUUUGCAACUUUUACCUAUUCUUUAGAGCCAUUGGUAUAGUAUCUUUAUGGACUUCAUCACUUGUUUAUCAUGAACACAAAGGCAAAAGGAGCAAGUAUGGGUGAUAGUUGAUCAUUUAACAAAGUAUAUACGGUUGUUAGCUCUUCAAAAGACUAUCACUGCCUCAGACUUAGCUACAGUCUACUUGGAGAAGGUUUUUCUUGAUUUUAAUUUACUAAAAGACAUCAUUAGUGAUCAAGAUUCAAAGUUCACUAGUGGAUUUUGGAAGAGCUUUGCAAAGGCUAUGCAAGUGACUUUCAAACUCUUGAGUGGAAAUCAUCCUUAGACAGAUAAGCAAAUCGAGUGUGUGAAUCAGGUGGUGGAGGAUAUACUACAUUGUAUCAUUGGUCAAAAGUAGGGAUAGUGGGAUCUCUAUCUUCUGUUGGUGCAAUUUGUCUACAACAAUAACUAACACAAUGAAACCAAGUUAAAUCUUUACUUUGCCAUGUUUAAAAGGCAUCCCCGAAUAGCGGUGGAGUUGGGAUGGCAUUUGAGUAAGGAUGUUCAAGAUAAACUUGAUUCUGAGGUGACUGAUCUGGCCACAGAACUUAAUGAGAUUCUUGUGGUAUGCAAAUAGAAUUUGCAGGCAGCUGUCGCAAAUAUGACUUCAGGUAUCAAAAGAUACUUGUCGGCCAAUCCUUAUAGACACUAUUUCCUUACUACGAUGACGGCAAGAGAUCAAUACUAUUGGUUCCUUUCAUUAGCCCCUUUUGUUUAAGUGUUGGUAAAUUGGGCUUAACAUCUAUACUUAACCAAAUAAAUAUAAGGUAGAAACUCCUAUAUGUUUCUAGUUAAGCAUUCUCAGCCUAGUUUUAAUUCUUUUUUGCUUUGUCUUACAUUGGCUUGCCCUUGUGUAUUGAGACUAAUCCCUCAAUAUUGCCAAAUGAUAACUUACCGUAUUUGCCAAACACCUUCGCUAUCAUGCCUUUUGUGUUAGUCUCAUUCCGGUCCUAAAUGCUAUUUAUAGAAAGUGUCUAAAUCAGCUCAUUUGGCAUAUUUACGGAAUGUAGAGAUUGACUUAAACAUAAUGGUGUUGAUCUUAUGUCAAAAUUCCAUAUUUUGUAAGUUUCAAGCUUGUUUCAAAUGCUAACUCCUAGUACUAAGGGUGGCUAAGGGUGAAAGCCCAAAGCAUGUGUUCCUCAAAGGAGGGGGAGGGAGUUCUAAAUGUAUAGUAGGGAUAAUAGUUGGUAUGUAAAUCUAACCACUUGAGACAUUAGUUUAGCUUCUACUAGGCUAUGUCGCUCCUUGUUUUGCAUCCAGCUUGGGUCUAAGCCCAAGCUUCACAUUACUUUAGUAGGUGGAGUACCCUCCUCCUCAUGUUAAGCUAUUAGUAUGCCAAAAUCAUGCCAGACAUUGUUUGACACCAUUUUGCAUGUAGGUGCUAAAUAUAGAGAGCUAGUGCUCAUGAGAUUGUAUUAGACCCUCGUUUUUGUAAGCUCCUAAAUUUAGAAUUCCUGGGAGGUCACCAACCCAAUACUAUUCAAACCCAAUGACGCUUAAUCCCAAAUAUCCCAAAACCCUUAACCGAUUGGAAUAAGGGGUGCACUCUUGUUCAUGGGCCAUUUCCCUCUAUAUUUGAACCCCUAUGGAUUGUCUCUCGAGUCGUUCCCUUUGGUUGCUUACAAUCCACCAUGCUUCUUACAAAUUCAUGCCCUCAUGAACGGAAAUUAAGAGCCCCUCUUUCUUGAUACCCUACCCCUCGGGUCGAGCCCAAUAAGAGCAAACUAGACCUACCAAAUGUCAAUCAAUAUGUGGUGUGAUUCCCCUAGCCAACCAACAAAGUUGGACUCAAGACCUCUUUGAUACCAAAUAUAAGCUCUUGAAUUUGAACUUCCCGGGAGGUCACCCAGCACAGUACUAUUCAAACCCAAGGACGUUUAACCCCAACUAUCCCAAAAUCCUUAAUCGAUUGGAAAACAGGGUGCACUCUUAUUCGUGGGCCCUUUCCCUCUAUAUUUGAACCCCUAUAGAUCAUCUCUCGAGUCAUUCCCUUUAAUUGCUUACAGUUUCAUAAUGUAAUAAGUUUGGAGUUCGGCUCCAAAUUCAUGUGUGCUACAUUUAGUAUUAGAGAAAUUGUCUUAGUGAUUCCUAUCCAAUUUUUGUCAAAAAUUCUAACUCAAGUUGCAUAUGCAGAGACUUUUCUAGUAGAUCCAAAGUGACCUAUGUAGGAUUAAUUGGAUUGCACCAUCCGGUAAGAAUAUUGUAUGCAUGUUCAGUUACUGAUAGAAGUAUGCAUGCAACUAAUGAAAUGGUGAAAAGGAAUUGUGUUGAUGACACUGAAACCUCUAGAUAGACAAAUCAAGAGGAGGAAACUCCUACUAGAGAUGUUGCAAAAGAGGCAAAGGCUGAAUUAGAGGAUGAAAGGCCUAAUGUUGUGGCACUACAAUGUACAUCUCAAAAAGUUGAGAUCAAGAUUUUGCGAAAGGAAGUUCGUAAAUUGAAGAAGGUGAACAAGAAGAGGAAAAAGAAGCUAAAAUAUCUAAACUAGCUAAACCUAAGCAACCAAACUUCUUUUCAAGUUCUAAAGAUGAUGAAGUUUUACAACUGCCCCCGAUUGCAUGAAUUUAAAAGUUCAAGCCUCUGAAACCACCCAAUUUCAUAGGCAUGCAAGACUAUAAGGUUUUGGAAGAUUGGGUCUUCCAAAAGACAUAGAUGAUUGUAUAAAAGUUGUGUAUGCGCAAUCCUUUCUGAUAGAUCAUGCCAAAACUUGGUGGUGCCAAGUGUUUGCUGAAAAAGGGCAGACUAGAAGUUGGACCAAGAUGCAAUCUCGUAUCCGUAAGGAAUACUUGUCAAAUGAUCUUGGUCUAAGACUUCGUGCAGAGCUACGGUAGUUAAGGCAAUGAGGGGACCUUAUGUAUUACGUUAAUGUGUUUGCUCAAAAGCACAUCAUGAUUGCAAAUAUGAGUGACAAAGAUGCUCAAAGUUAUUUCUUGGAAGGGUUAAGUUCACUUUCUAGCAAUGAGAUUUUGAAGUUUAAACUAAAGAUAUACCUAAAGUGUAAAGAGGUAGCACAGCAAGUCGCCUUCAAUCACUCGCUCAUGAAACAAUAUCAACAAUCGUAUGCUGGUCCCUCAUACAAGAAUAAGAACUUCAAGAAUAAAUAAGAUGAUCGGAAACAAAGGGUGGAAGGAAGGUUUUGCCCUGGAUACUCACAAGCAAUAGUUAACAAAGGUGGUGGUGGUUAGCAACCACCAACAACUUCUUCUAGUCCUAGGCACUCUAUUCCUUCUCCUGAUGGGUACAGUCAACAUCAAUCUAUGAAACCUGCUCCUAGCAGAACAGGUAGUGUGGGUCAUUGCUUCUAUUGUGGAGAAACAAGAUAUAGGUCCUUGGAAUAUCCCAACAAACAUAAAAUAAGGUAUCAUGUUAAUAUCAUAAGGGAAAACGGUGGUGGUGAAACUGAAGGGGUUAAUGCAAACUAUAAGGAAGAGGAGGUGAGUUAUUUUUGUUACUUUCCUUAAGUUUUUCUCGUAGUAAAUGCAAACAUUGAUCCAUUAAUAUAUUUGAUAAGCUUUGUCUGUGGACACCGAAUCUGAGUGAUAAUUGACAUAGGAGCUACACACAAUAUGAUAUCCAAAGACUUAGUUAAGUUGUUAGAAUUGAAUGUUAAGCAGAUGUCACUUAUACACUUCCAAUUUGCGAAAGGUGGGCAAGUAGCUAGAAAAUUUGUGAGUGAUGUUCCAAUAAAAAUAUUCAAGUGGAAAAAAAGAGUGGACUUGGUAGUGUUGAAGAUACCAAAUUUUCAGAUAGUGUUUAGUAUGGAUUUCUUCAAAAAACUUAUAAAAGGGAUUUAUGGUGCUGGACAAAAUUGCAUCAUAUUGAGGUCGGUAGGAUGUCUUGUUAUGUCCUUCCAGCUGCAAAAGCAAGAUGCUAAGUUCUUGAUUGCGAUGUAAGCCACAAAUUUUUUCUUUCCAAUUUGCCAGCUUACCUCAUCUAUCCGUCCAACACUGCCUUGGCUUUUGCUAAGUUCCCUCGCCAAGGUUCCCGCCUAUGGUACCAGCUCUUACCUGGUCUUACUUGGUUUCAGCUACUCACUACACGAGCAACGAAGUGUUAGCCAUCCAUCCACGAAUUCCCAAAUCUCUCCCAAUCCCCCUCCCCGGGUUAGACUGGACUUAAGGUUCAGCUACACUCCCCACAAGCACAAGUAGCCAAGCAUACCAAGUUUCCAGGUUCCUAACAUUCCAUGGUACCACAAGACUUGAUCAUGGGACCCUCUAAAUCCCAAGUCUCGGGUGCAACACUUGCUUCGGGACGCCGAGGCGAAAUAUCGUGGCCUAACGGCCCGGUAUGGGUACCUCUACCCCCCCACUUCCAUCCCGAAGGGAAGGUCCAAGCCCCUAGGAAGGGCGAGGACCAAUGAGCCGCACGGUACUCAAGUAGGGCACCACUCUACAUGAGCCGGGAGCACCGCAGUCGGUUUCCCUUUUGGGAGUGGGAGCUGCUCUUGAACACUUCCUUGGAUGGCCCCUCCAGCACCAACCAAGUCCAUGCUCACUCCCACCCAAGGCCCCUCGGUCCUAGUCCCAACCUCAAGUCAGUUUGGAAGCCCUACUGGAGAGUUCCCUCAAAAUUGGUUCCUAGACCUCACUAUCCCUACUAUACUUUUGGAACCCCCUACAGCCCCCCCUCCCCUGGGGGACGCACGCUUUGGGCUUUCACCCCUUGACCCGUAUUAGUACUCAGACUUAGUCUCUGGCUCGAUCUCGGAUCCGACUUCGGAUUCGGUCUUGGACUCGAUCUCGGACUCGAUCUUGGACCCGAUCUCGGACUCGACCUCGGACUUGACCUCGGACUCGGUCUCGGACCCGAUUUCGGAUCUCGGACUCCGUCUCGAACUCGGUUUCGAACUCGGUUUCGAACUCGGUUUCGAACUCGGUCUUAGAGUCGGUCUUGGACUCGAUCUUAGACUUGGUCCCAUCCGAUGAACUCUUUAUCAUUUUGGUCAUGCUUUCGGGGCUUCUUUAGCCUACGACACCUCGGCGAGUUGGUUCCUUACAUGCGAGAGCCGCUCAAAAUGCAGCUAAGAAGGGAUGUUAGACAUUUUGGGUUCAAGUGAUGGAAGUUAAGGGUCUUAGUGACUCAGUACAAAUUGGUGAUAGGGUUAAUCUUGUACCAAAGGAGAUAUUGGAGUUGUUGGUAAGGAAUCAGGAUAUCUUUCCAAAGGAUUUGCCACUAGCGCUACCUCCUAGCCAUGAGGUUGAUCAUUGGAUUGAGGUUGUUCUGGGUUCUAAACCACCUACAAAAACUCAAUAUCAUCUAAAAAUUUUUUAGAUGGCUGAACUCAAGAAUUUACUUAUAGAGCUUCUUGACAAAGGUUAUGUUUGACCAAGCAAGUCACCUUAUGGAGUUCUAGUCUAUUUUAUUAUGAAAAAGGAUGGUACUAUGAGGAUGUGUAUUGAUUAUCGAGCUCUUAACAAGAUUAUGGUAAAAAAUAAUUAUCCUUUGCCUCAUAUGGAUGACUUAUUUGACCAACUCUUAAAGGUUAAAUACUUUAUGUGGCUUGAUUUGCGGUUUGCAUAUCACUAGAUAUGGGUGGCAGAUCAAAAUGUGCAAAAGACAGCCUUUCAGACUUAGUACAAGUCCUAUGAAUUCCUUGUCAUGCCGUUUGGGUUAUGCAAUGCUACGGCAACAUUCAGCAAAGGACUUCCACACCAUGUGACCAUAACCUUGGUCACUACACCAGAGGACUACCCUUCCUCCUUUCCACAGUUUAGAAUUUUGGGACAACAUUUCGGAACACCGUGGCCCUAUGUGAGCCUCAUGAAUACUCUCCCUGCCUUCCGCCUUUGGGUGCUCUAGCCAUGGGCUUAGAGCGAGGUUCCGUUAAGCCAUGCUAGGUAUCCAAGUAGGUAGUGCUACCCAUGCUUGGACUGGAAGCAUUGACCAUUUGAUCUCCCAGGGGAACUAGACCCAGCUCUUAAACACUUCACCAAACUACCUCACUUGUCAGUCCAUAUUCACUCUAGCCUUGGACCUCCCAGUGGUUAUCUCAUCACCCCGCACCUGGGUACAACCUUCCUGGGUCAAACUGUCCUUUCUUACCUAAACUGGCUCCACUAGGGUCCAACCCCCACACUCUCCCUACUAUACUUUUGGAACCCCCUACAGCCCCCCCCCCCCCCCCCCCCCGCCACUCUGGAGGAUGAUCGCUUUGGGCUUUCACCCAACAGGCUAUAUUAGUAUUUGGACUCGGACUCAGACUAGAACUUAGACUCAGACUCAAUCUCAGUCUUGACUUUGGACUCGGACUCGGUCUUGGUCUUGGUCUCGGUCUCGGUUCCAUCUCGAACUCCAUCUCAGACUCAUCUCAGAUUUAUCUCGGACUCCAUCUCUGUCGCGCAUAUGACUUCGGGUAUCGAAAGUUACCUGUCGACUAGUCCUUACGGACACUCUUACCUUACUGCCACGAUGGCAGGAGGUCGGUAUUGCUGGGCCCGUUAUCAGUCUCCGCCUAAGCUAGUUGAGAAACUGGUCAUCACAUGUGCACUUAGACCGGAAGGGCACUAAGGAAGGAAAUCCUAAGUUGUCAUUUAGUCAAGCAGACUUGACACGGUGAUGAGAAACUCAUGAUGUUGGCUUGCACUUACUAGUGUUAGGAACCCCCGCGAUAUUGAGCUUGGUCUCAAUAUUGCUAAAUGAUAGCUUACCGUGUCUGCCAAACACCCUCGCUAUUAUGCCCUUUGUGUUAGUCUCGUUUCGGUCCCAAAUGCUAUUUAUGGAAAGUGUCCAGAUUUGCUCAUUUGGCAUAUCUACGGAAUGUAGAGAUCGUCCUGAACACAAUGGUGUUCGUCCCGUGUCCAAAUUCGCAAUCUAGGGACAUUCCAUAUUUAGUAAGUUUCGAGCUUGUCCCAGAGACUAACUCCUGAUACUAAGGGAGGCUUGGGGUGAAAGCCCAAAGCGUGUGUUCCUCAAGGGGGGGGGGGCUGUGGGGGGUUCCAAAUGUAUAGUAGGGAUAGUGGGUAGGUCGGGCAUGGCUGACCAACCUGAGGCAUAGUCUAGCUCCCGCUUGCGUGCCUGUCCUUGUUCUGCGUCCAGCUUGGGUCUAAGCCCAAGUUCCAUUCCAUGCUAGUUGGUGGAGUACCCAUAUCCUCACGUUAGGCCACCGGUAUGCCGAAAUAGCGCCAGACUCCGUUUGGCUCCAUUUUGCGUGCUGGUUCUAGCAUUGGGAUGCUAGUUGCUCCAGGACUGUUCCAAGUCGCUCCGGGCUCCUGUCCCUUCGCUCCUUGGGCUUUAUGCUCGGGAGUUGCUCCGUGGUUCGGUUCCGUCACUCUUUGGCUCCAUGCUUGGGAGUUUGGCACCGUUCCUUCGUUUAGUGGCCCAAGGCCCUGAACCUCAGGUUCCUAUGGACACGUGGCAUGUGACAAGUGGCAUCUGUCACGUGGCACAAAGAGGGUUUAGGUUCCACUUUGUGGUGUUAUCGUAUGGUAAAUCACCAUAGGAUAAAGGGUCAAAACCACGUGCGCUACAUUUGGUAUCAGAGGAUGAGUCUGGGCGAGUACUAUCCAAUGAGAUUGGGCAACUAGUCUCGUUGCAUACGCAGAGAUGAAGACGAUGAUCCGAGUGGGUACACGUUUGGUGCAAAGGGUUCACAUUCGUUCCUUGGGUAUGGUUUUGGUUACCUUUUGUACCAUAUUCUGUGAGCUUGAGCUUGGGCUCAUAAAAGGGAUUGAGUUGUUCUGGUUACACGAGUUUACGCUUGGGCUCGUGAGUGAGGCACAUUAGCAACUUAAGGUUACACUUUGAGUUGGCAGGGUUAAUGUUAGCCUAUCGGUGGUUCCAUAAGUUGUUCCAUGUACCGUGGGUAAAAGCAAACCUUCCCUAAGUUUGCUAUGAGUGGCAAAUAGGCUGGUCCGUAGCUAUUUAGCAUGGCACUAGUAGAUCCUUCCUAGGCAUGAUUACAAGUGGAUCAAUCAAGACUGUAGGGAUUAGUCUAUUGGUUCAAGUAAUCAUUGCCGUGCUCUCUCAUAAACUUUUCUUGGAUUGGACUGAAGGCAGUGCAAACGCAAGCUUGAGGUUUAGUCAAAGAUGAGACCGAAAAGAGAGUCGUCGGGGACGAAGGAUCAAACACGUAAAUCAUUUUCUUUUCUUGAGGAAAUGAUUCGCAAUGAGGUGUUAACUCAUUGCUCGUGUUGACAUCAUGCAAUCAAGAGUCAUUACCUUGAUGCAUUUUGGAGAUGAUGGUCUUACAAAUGGUGAGUUAUGGGAUGGAUAGCAGUGAAGUGCUAUAUCAUUUUGUCUAGGCUUGCUAUUGGAAGACUUGAGUUGCAAUGCUCAAUUCUUUUCCGGGGAACCUUGCUAUUGCUCCUUGAGUAGCUUGGUAUUGGGUUAAGUUUUGAGUUUGGUCGAAAAGCGAGUGGCAUGAGCUUGUCCAUGUUGUGAACAAAAGUUGGUGGUGUUCAGUGUUGUAAAUCUCUAUUGGUGGAGUGUGGCAUUUAUGUUGCAUUUUGUCGAAUUGAGUUGGCACUUGAUGCUCACAUAAACCUUUGAAGUAAUGACAUGGGUGUUGUUCGUGGUGUUGCUCAAUUGAUGAUCAAAUCAUUGUGAUUUUGUAUCAUAUCCAUGUGAUAAUGAGCAAUGUGUUUACGAAGUUGCUUGGUUAAAUGAUGAUCAACCCCAAAGUGGUUGAUGGUGAAGCUAGUCUACUUGCACGAAGUAGCAUUGUAUUAGCUUUGACUGGAUUCUCAAUGGUGGUCCAUUAUGCUAAGCUUAAGUUGGUUCCUUUUUUCCUUGAGUUUGCCCACUAAGGUGUUGGAAAAGGGUUGUAGCAUUCACUUGCUAUGGCUUGUCAGUUGGCCCGUUAACACUUGGAGUAAGUUAUUGGAUGGAGAAAGUGUGUAGUUGAGGCAUUGACAUUGCUAGCACUUGUGUUAGUGGAAGUGGCAUUGUUAUUUCAAGUGAUGAGGAUUUUCCUUAGAACUUGAUUUUCCAUGUCAUUUUUCUUGUUAGUGUUUUAGCUUCACAUUGGAUCUUGAAGGUGGUUGAAGAAGAGUGUUAGUGCAAUAUGGAUAUCCGAAGAUGUGGUCUUCGUGAUCAAGCCUUGGAUGUUCCAUUUGCAUUUUACGGAUGUCGGAGUUGGAUGUCGGAAGUAUGGGUAAAAAAAAAAAAAAGAUGUUCGAGGCUUAAGCAUACUAUGGGUCAUGAGAAUUUGUGUUGAGGUGAACCUAUGUGAAGUUGUUAGUAGGAGGAAGUUGGUUGAGUCUUGAAAGUUUGUAUUCCUGGACUGAGAGUCAUUCUUUCUCUAGGAUGGAAAUUUUCCACAAAUUUUCUUAGACUUUUUCAAUGGCUGAUCUGUUAUCACUUUGUUCGAAAACCAUUCCGUUUUCAUAAGCCAAUACAAACUAGUGAAGGGGUUGGAGUUGACUUCGGUUAGCUUAGACCUUAGUAGAUAGUUUGUAUGAUGCGGCCCGAAAGGGAUACUAACUUUUGGGGCUAAGGCAAUUGAGUUGGAUAGAGUCUGGAGUUAAUGUAGAAAAGUGGCCGUUGCACUUUUCUAGAAAGGUGACCCUUGUGCCUUUCUUUUGUAGCGUUAUGCUUGGUGGCAAGUUGCACUUUGCAUUUCGUUAGACUCUAUGAGAGUAAUGAGCUCUCACUGAUCUUGACUUGGUCUUGGUGACCCUGCACCUUGGCUAAGGAUGGUGAUGUUCAACUUAGUUGUUUGAGUUUGAGAUGUUAGUACUCAUAUUAUAGCUUUGUCUAUGAGGAGGUUGUGUACCGAUAUGAGUUCAUCUCAUGGUCUUCACUUUAGUUUCGACUGAGUGUUGAUCAUGUAUAGCUAGCCUCUUCAAGGCAUGCUCAGAGCUGUUGGCUAAGUGCAUUAGUGAGCUUAUUGCGGUUGAGUUGGAUUCGAGUGGUCAUUUAGUUUGUGCUUGUCAAUGAACUUUUAUCUCAUACCGAAGGUAUCAGGUUCAUGUUAGACAAGUAUAUGACUCGAUGACACAAGUUUAGUGUUUGGGUCUUUUGAAAGGCAAGACAAGUGAUUGUUGGUUGCUUUGCAACUAGUGAUUGUUUGUAAACUUUGUCAAGGGCUUUUGACACUUGCUUCACUCGAUGAUGAUUUAGCAGUGAUGGGCUUGCUUUACCGGAUGGUGUUGCGGAGGAUCAUGUUGUUAGACUUACAUGGGUUUCCUAUGUUGGUUUGUUGACUCUACCUCUCUCGAUAUCAUUUGGUUGCGUUUAGUUCGUGGUGUUGGAUUUCAUUGAGUCUUGGACGUGGUGAUUCACUCCUUGAGGAAGUGUUAUCUGUAACUGAGUUUUGCUAAAGGAUUGGUCUCGGAUACUAACUAAAAGUAUCUUCGACCUUGGUUAGCUUGGUUGCUAGAGAGCUUUGAGUGGUGAUACACUCGUGCUUUCUUCUAGCUUUGUUCUAGUGUUGGUGGCAUUGAAGUGAUGCCUUGUCGUUGACAUUGUUGAUGUUGAAAUUUUAGUGAAAUGAGAUGUUUCUCUACAAGAUUGAUACCGAGUUUCAUUAGUUUUGAUGAAGAUAGUGUUGAUGAUUUGGCUAUAGCUUUGUGUUAUUGGCAUUUGUGCAUGUGCUGGUUAGCAACUGUAUUGACGUUCAAGUGAACUGAGUGGCAAGUUGAGUUAGUUGUGUUCUAGACGAGAUUAUUUAGUAGGGGUUAAGUUUUGGCUUUUCCUUGAAAAGUGAUUCAAUCGUGGACUAUACUAACUCUACAAGCGGAAGAGUUAGUGAUUGAUAUUGGAAGGUUUGAAUCUUUAUUGGAUUUGAGUUGGAAUAUAUCGAUUAUUGAUGAUUCUUUUUGUGCUUGUUAUGAAGUGAGUUACGUUUUGCUAUAGAUGGAUUCAUGGAGGAUCGUUUGGUGAUCACUUGUUGAGCAUAGCUUCGUUAUGCUUAGCUUUUGGAUUAAUGCAGACAUACUCUUCAUUAGCUUUGCAUUAUGAAGUUUAGCUUAUAGAUGUGUUGAAGAGGAUAUUGUGGGUUGUACCAUGAUUUCUUCUUUAGCAUUGACGUUAGUCCAUGCGAGACUCGUGAUCAUUAUUAGGCAAGACUUGGCUAUAAACUUCUUCGAGCUUUUGGUUCUUUGAGUUUUCAUGCUCAUUGUUCCAUUUGUUAGGAGUUGUUGAGGGAAGGCAUUUUGGCUCAUUAGCUUCAAUGUUGACGUUAGUAUUUGCAUCUAGCAAUCAUUGGUGAUGAUUGACUAUCAUCUAAGAUAAUUGAUUAUCCUUGUCCAGGGUUUUGCUUGAUUAUUGUUGGUAUAGAAUGAUUUGCUGUUCUUCGGGAUAGUAGAUUUUUUCUUCAAUGAUGAUUAUGCAUUUCUCUAUUGAUAGGAUGAUUAAUGAUCUUUUAUGGUGGUUAGUUGUUCUCUUUGAUGGCUUGUGGCUUUUCGCAAUAUCAUAUGUUCUUUGUGAUUUGCUUUGGAUUGGUCUCUUGGGUUUGAGACAUCGAUAGGAUGUUGCUAACACUUACUUAGGCAACUUCAGUUCCUUGGUGUUGUUGGCUGGGAUCUAUUCGGAUUAACUAGCGUGAUAGUUGGCAUAAACGAGUGUUUGUUGGUCUUGCCACAUUCAUUCUGUUUUGUUGAUUGUUGCUCGAGUUAGUUCUUAUAGAUUGGGAUGUUAUUUCCUUUAGGUAAUACAUUCGCGAGCAUUUUGCUUGCUAGUCAAUGAUACUUUGUGUUCUUUGAGUUAUCUUUCGUAAGUUGUUUGGCAUUCUGUCUGCAAUCUUUAAUAGUUAAACUUUAUCAUUGAGUUUACUUGAUGAUAUACUUGCUAUUGAAUUUUGUUGAUGGUGAAUCCUAUGUUUACCAACUAUAAUGAUCAUGGUGGUUCCUACACUAUUAUACUGGUUUAUCGGAUGAUAACUUGCUUAGAAUAUUAUUAUGUUCUAAUCUAAGAUAUAAUCAUUGAUAAUUAAGUCUCUAAGAUAUCAUUGUCUCUGACUUUGAUAUUGUCCAUCUAUUAAUCUUUGAGUUUAGGCCAGUAUAGGCAGACUAGCUUCGGCACUUUGUGUGCAUGUUGAAAUCUCUAGUCAUGGGGUAGCUACUGUCGACUGGUCACAUAACCCGCCUCUUUGUCGAUGUUCCUUGUUCCGUUAAAAGGGCGUGACCGUGUAAACAACUCUAACUGCCUGUUUACAGUAGUCUAUCUAAACCUUACCGACGGGUUUGGUUUCUUUGCUUAGGAGGGUUGGGGCCUCUGGCUUCUCUCUCUAUGUUCCUGCGGGCAGGGGCAUAUCACACUUUUGUAAGCUGGGUGACUCCCAGAGCAGCAAGGGUGGCUGACUCCGUUGGUCAUUUCCUUGUCGGCGACGGCCGGAAGGUGUCUGAGCUGGUAGCGCAUCUGCGUUAGACAAAGAGGUUGCCUCCUAACUCAUUUAAGUUGGUGCAUUUCUCACAUAGUGUGAGUACCGUGAACUUUUUCUGGAGUUGUUUCCUUGGCGGUAUUCUAGACUCGAGUAUGCAUCGACGAGGACGUCGAUCUUCCCUAGGGGGGGAGAGUGUCGCACAUAUGACUUCGGGUAUCGAAAGUUACCUGUUGACUAGUCCUUACGGACACUCUUACCUUACUGCCACGAUGGCAAGAGGUCGGUAUUGCUGGGCCCGUUAUCAGUCUCUGCCUAAGCUAGUUGAGAAACUGGUCAUCACAUGUGCACUUAGACCGGAAGGGCACUAAGGAAGGAAAUCCUAAGUUGUCAUUUAGUCAAGCAGACUUGACACGGUGAUGAGAAACUCAUGAUGUUGGCUUGCACUUGCUAGUGUUAGGACCCCCGCGAUAUUGAGCUUGGUCCCUCAAUAUUGCUAGAUGAUAGCUUACCGUGUCUGCCAAACACCCUCGCUAUCAUGCCCUUUGUGUAGUCUCGUUUCGGUCCCAAAUGCUAUUUAUGGGAAGUGUCCGGAUUUGCUCAUUUUGCAUAUCUACGGAAUGGAGAGAUCGUCCUGAACNNNNNNNNNNNNNNNNNNNNNNNNNNNNNNNNNNNNNNNNNNNNNNNNNNNNNNNNNNNNNNNNNNNNNNNNNNNNNNNNNNNNNNNNNNNNNNNNNNNNNNNNNNNNNNNNNNNNNNNNNNNNNNNNNNNNNNNNNNNNNNNNNNNNNNNNNNNNNNNNNNNNNNNNNNNNNNNNNNNNNNNNNNNNNNNNNNNNNNNNNNNNNNNNNNNNNNNNNNNNNNNNNNNNNNNNNNNNNNNNNNNNNNNNNNNNNNNNNNNNNNNNNNNNNNNNNNNNNNNNNNNNNNNNNNNNNNNNNNNNNNNNNNNNNNNNNNNNNNNNNNNNNNNNNNNNNNNNNNNNNNNNNNNNNNNNNNNNNNNNNNNNNNNNNNNNNNNNNNNNNNNNNNNNNNNNNNNNNNNNNNNNNNNNNNNNNNNNNNNNNNNNNNNNGCUCCUGUCCCUUCGCUCCUUGGGCUUUAUGCUCGGGAGUUGCUCCGUGGUUCGGUUCCGUCACUCUUUGGCUCCAUGCUUGGGAGUUUGGCACCGUUCCUUCGUUUAGUGGCCCAAGGCCCUGAACCUCAGGUUCCUAUGGACACGUGGCAUGGACACGUGGCAUGUGACACGUGGCAUCUGUCACAUGGCACAAAGAGGGUUUAGGUUCCGCUUUGUGGUGUUAUCGUAUGGUAAAUCACCAUAGGAUAAAGGGUCAAAACCACGUGCGCUACAAUCUCGAAGUCCAUCUCGGGUCCAUCUCGGACACCAUCUCGGGUCUAUCUUAGACUCCAUCUCAGACUCCAUCUCGUGUCCAUCUCAGACUCCAUCUCUCUCAAACUCCUUCUUGGACUCAAUUUCGGACUCCAUCUCAAACUCCUUCUUGGACUUCAUCUGGGACACUUCCACGUGUUAUGUGUUGGUCCUUUUGUAUCGCUUUUUUAGAGGCUCACUUAUUGCUCACUUUGUGCUUGUUCUUCAAGCACUUCAUUGGGAGUUCCACUCCCUCUCUCGAUUUUUCGAAUCAAAGCCUUUAGUUUAUAUGUGUUACUUCAUUUGGAGUCUGCCUCAGCCACUACCAUGUGGCACCUUUUCGGCUCCUCUUUUGGGGCCUAGGGAUUUUAUGUCUCACACCAUUGCUAUAAAGAAUGAGGACUAGCUCUGCCGAACACAAUUGUAAAUGGUAACAUAUGGCAACAGACUAAGCAAUAAAAGAUAAACUCAAUUUUGUAUUAUCUAACAUAGAGAGAACAAUAGAAAACUUCUUAUUAUAAAAACAAGCUUGGAAAGUAAAAGCUAGAUGAAUUAGUGUCGAGUGAAGAUAGUAAUCCUGAAAGAAGGAUAGAGGGGUCAUUAACUUAAUCGUGUAAGAACCUUUCAUUACUCAUACGACUCCUCAUUUCCUAGAAAGAUCUCUAUAUUAAGACCUUCCAUUGCAAUAGCACUAAUAUGACAUUAUUUACACCAAGACCUCCACCCAUAAAAUAGAGGACAUCAAUCUAAAAAAUACUGACAACAUUGAUAUAUAUGGCUAACCUUAUCACAUGCCCAUCACUGAACAUCAUGACCAUGACCACACCCUAUCCUUAAACAUGGGUUGCAAUAGUAUUAACCUCCACUGGAACAAAAUCCUUUUCCAUAAGAAGUGGAGUUGAAGUAUAUGUAACGACAAGUGAAAGAGAUGGUGUUUCAUAACAUUGUGUCAAUUAAAGAGUGUUAUCAAGGUGGUGGGAGCAAGUGCAUGUAUAAGGUCUACAAGAUUUUAAUGAAAUAUUAGCCAUAACAUUUCUGACUUGAUUCACUUUAAUAUAUUUGGUUUUUGCACAAAGCAAGAGGUUCUGAAAGCAAAUACAAAACUACAUUACUGACUUAUACAGCUUCUGAAGAAGAUGAUGCAAAUGUUAAAUUGCAUCAUCAUAAUCGUCAACAUAUUCAAAUGCAUGCUUAAAAAUAUUUAAGAGAAGGCUCCAAUCCUUAUAAGUGACUAUACUCAAACUAUUGUACCACGACAACACCAUCUCUAUAAGGAACUUACACAAGUGCUAAGCAUUAUUCCAAAAAUGAUAAGUGGUAAUCAUUGUAAAAUGAUCGAACCAAUAGUAUAUAUCAUUCCGAGGAUUCCUAAAGAAGAACUCUAAUUGGAUGUAAGGGUUGGCAACAAAAGUGUACCACACACUAUGAAUGCCACUAUCAAAUGAGUUUGAUUGGUCAUUUAUAACUAUAUAGCAUUGAGUAUUUUCACCAAUUGCUACUCUAAAGUCAGAGGAAGAGGAAGCUACUACUCUACCAUGAGAAAAACUGAAAAACUAUUAAAAAAAUAAAAAGAGAUUUAAACAAUAUAAAAAUUAGAUCUAAAUCAAAAGCACAAAUCAAAACAUUUAUCAUGGACAAUCAAAGUUUCCCCUUAUCAUUACUAAUGUAAAUGUAUAUAUGGAGUAUAGAAAUUUUUAUAUUUGAUUUUCUACAGUAAGAACUCUCUAAAAAUAAAAAAAACUGACAUAUCUGGACAAUAAUAAUAUACAAACCCAUGACAAAGCCUGAAAACCCUAACUUAUAUACAAAAGUGAGUGGUUUAGAUUGAAACAAGUUCAAUAAUUACUAAAAUCCUAUUAUAUUAAUAAUAGUAUAUGGCAUCAUAGUCUUACACUUAGAUCUCACAACCUAAAUUUUGCCAUGUUUAAAUUGAUGUAUAUUACAACUUUAUUAAGUUAUGUUCUUUCUUUUCCUCUUUUCAUGAGUCAUGCAAACUUUAAUUAUAUUUUGGUUGGUAAUGAAUAUGCCUAGAACAUAUUCUAGGAUAUUCUACCAUCUAAAAUUAUUAUUCACUUAGAUUGAUUUUGCAUUUAUAAAUUAUAAACUUUCCUAAAUACUUUUUAGUAUAUACUAGUUUAUUCUACCAUCUUAUGCAAUAAUAUUAACCUUAUAUUUAUAAAUUACAAAUAUAUUUAUAUUUAUAAACUUCAUAUUGGUAAAUUACAUUAGUAAAAAAUAAUAAACAGGAAUAAAAAGCCACACAUUGUUGUGGAAAAUAUGCAGAAAGUUAAGUUUUUAAUCUUAUAAAUUACUAUAAUUUAUAUUAAUAAUUUAUUUUCUAAUUAUUUUUCCAAAUUAUAUAUUUUGAGUUACCAAUAUGACUUGACACAACUAAUGUUCCAUUAUCUUCAAGUGUUAAUAAAGCAAAAACUAUGCAUUUUAAACAAUAAUUAUCAUUUUCCCAUAUAAUAUUAUCAUCUUUAUUUAUAAGUAAACGACCACUAUAUUGAAGGUGUAAAGAACAAGAAGCAUCAAAUUUUUCUGAAUUUGUAGACCAUAAACUUUGUUCAUGAAGAAUACUUUCAAUUAUUAAAUUACAAUUGAUAAGAGUUGCUCUAUAAUGAUUAUUUGAUGAUACUAAAGCAUUUCCAUUAAUUAUAUAUGUACCAAUUCUAUGUUUAUAUCCACUUAUUAAUUGUGUUCUAUAUGCCCAACAUUGUGAAGUAUCAAAAUCACCAUUUAAAAUAUCUCUAGGUGGAUUAUUAUCAUCAGGUAAACCUUUUGGAUAUUCUAAAGAAGGUAUUGGAUCAUUAGGAUUUCUUCUACUUGGUCCAGUAGCAAAAUAAUCAAUUAUAAAGUGUCUAUAAACAGUAAUAAUUUCUUGUAAACCAUAAAUACGUGCAUGAUAUUCUACAAGUCGUAAUAUUUGAGUAAAUGUUUCUUGUAAAUAUCGUGCAGUAAAGGCAUAGCCUUCAGGAAGUGAUGUACAAUCAAAACCCCUUAAAGCAUCACGAAAUAUAUAAAUUCGAAUAAUAACUUGUUGAUAAGCAACACUUAUUGAUUCUUGAAUAAAAUAUCCAUUUGGCCCAGGAUUGAUUGGCAUAUUGAUUCUUCCUAUUAAAUUUCUAAAUUCUCUUAUAAUUCUACCGAUGUGUCUAUUGCCAAAAUGGUAUAAACCUCCAAUCACUCUUGUUUCUGGUGGUUGUGCAUAAUAGCUUGCAAUAAAAGAAAAUAAAAUGACUAAUAAUAAAAUUUUAAAGCUCAUUAUUACAAAUAAUAAAUAAGUAAUUAAACUAUAUAUCUAUAUAUAUAAAGUUUUAGUUGUUUUUUUUCAAAUUUUUAAUUAUUAGCUUUAAAUCAUAUAUAUUAUUAAAGAUGAGUACCAUUUGUUUCAUGACAUUUGUACACAAAAUAUUUAAAUGAAAAAGUUCACUAUUGUUUAUAUGUUUUAAAAUUAUUUUUAAGUAUAUUAUUGUAAUGUUAAUAAGGUGUUAGUCUGACACUUGUCAAGUUCUUUGUCAAAGAGUGGCUCUUCGGCAUGCUGGGGGAUUUUAAUCUGCUGAAUUUUGUGGGCUAUUGCGACGAGCUCAAUGCUGGGUAUGCAACCAAUGGCUAUCUGCAAGCCAAAGGCGUGGGAGCUUGCGCCGUGACGUUCACUGUUGGGGGUCUUAGUGUCAUCAACGCCAUAGCAGACUCCUACAGCGAGAAUUUGCUGGUGAUUUGCAUUGUUGGAGGCCCCAAUUCAAAUUUUUUCAUCACACGAUUGCAAGUUACUUGUGCUCAGGUAACAAAUUUUUUUCUCUCAUUUUCUUCUUUCUGUGUGGAACAUCCACUGGUCUUGCAAUUGAAAACUUGUUUAUUUUGUGGAGCAUGGAAUCUCUCAUCAAUGAUUUUGAUGGUUUUUGCAUGGAAUAUUUGUGUCUUGUUUGGAAACCCUUGUGCUGUCAUAACACAAGCAUUGUUUUCAUAGCUUUAUGGGAACUAAGGCAAAGCUUUUAUAGGAACUUGGCUCUUUUGUGGAACUUUUUUCCUGGUCUGGCUAGGUUACAGCAUAGGAUGUUGGUACCAUGAUUCGUUAUGGCCAAAGGAGCAUCAUAUUCCUGAUUAACAACCGUGGCUUACACAAUUGAAGUGGAGAUCCACGACAGACAUGAUUAAAAAAACUGGGAUUACACUGGAGUGGUGAAUGCUUUCCACAACAAUGAGCAUCACGAGAAAGGAGCUGCUGGAAUGGGGGCCGCUGCUGUUACCACAUCUAAAGUUCCCUAGCUAUUGACACUAUUCACCAAAAGCAAUAUAAAUCCUCUUAAAGCUAUUUUGUCUUCUUAAGGGGAUUGUGGUUCAACACUAUAAUAGGUUUUGACUUGAUGGUGCUAGUGGAAGGAGACUAGCUAUACAAUUUUUCAUUGGAGAAUAAGAGUGCAUUUCAAGGUGUUCUUGGAAUAUUUCACAAUAGGUGAUGAUUAAAUCUAAAUUUCUCAUUAUAAUAAUUUCAUCAUAGUUGUGUAUAUUAUGUAGAUUAACAACAUAGGCUACAAUUUGUUAUGCUAUACAAAAGCAAUGGCAUAAGUUCACAUAUAACAAGAGCCCAUAAGCAUUAUGCUAUAUAAACUCCUCUUUUGUGGAUAUGGAUGUUGACGAAGACUAUUUUUUUCUAUACUAGAAUUUUAUAGUGGUAUUAUACAAUUUCUUCUUUGACUUAUGAAAUUUAAUUUUUUAUUAGACUUAUGUUAUUUAGUAUCUUCUUGGACUCAAGAUGUGUCUUAACUUUCGAAUAGAAUUGUUAGUUUGUCCCAAAUCAAUCAUUUCAACAUUGACUUCUAUUAACUUGAGCUCAACUCGUGAGUUGAGCUCAAAACCUCUAGCAAAUAACCUUUAUCAUUUUCUCAAAAGCUAGUCCAUUGGAUGAAGCCUUUUUUUUCUCAAGAGUGUGAGCUUGUUCAAAGUGUUCAACUAGUAUGUUAUUGCCUUCUGUGAGAACAAUCAUAAGAGAGAGAGAGAUUUUCUUCCUCCGCUACUUUGUCAUAUUCUUCAUUUGGUGCUGUGGCAUUUGCAUGCUCUCUUGUGAUUGAUUUUUGGCACUCUCAUUCAUGUCAAGGAGAUUUCUUGAACAAAUACCCUUGAUUAGAACUUGUUGAUGGUAUCAAAUAGAUCCUAGUCCAAAACUGGCAGAGUGAACUUCUUGAAAAUACCCAAGUAGAGGGUGAAGUAAUUGGCAUUUCCAAUCUGGUGAUUAUAAUCCUUGAUUACACUAGUUGUCUAGUGAACUGGAGCUGGUUGACACUUCUCACAAGCUGAGGCUCUACCUUGCAAGAUACUCUUCCUGCUUCAAAUCAAUCAAAGCAUGAUUCUCAACUAAAGUCCAAUUGUAUCCUCUUUUCCACCUUGACACUAGAUCAUCUUCAAAUAGCCCCGCUUCCUUGGUUGUUGAUCCCUCAUCACUCACCUAUAGUUUCUCAACUUGAUGAAAAUGCAUUCUAGGAAUACCUAGAUUGGAAAUGAGGUUGCACGUGCUAUGCUUCAUCCUCAUAUGGCCUGAUGCUCCCGAAUUGCAAUACAAAAAGUGAGUGUGAGAAUCAUGAUUAACACUAGGAAUCACAUAAGUAGAGAGCAUGGCAAAACUAGCAUUAGAUCUGGUGAUCAAGCUCUCAUGAUCAAGCAGCUCUCCUGACUCAUUCCAGCCCUAAUGGAAAGUUACAUAAAUAUAAUGGUAAGUACAUAAAUAUAUAAAUAUACAUAAAAAGAUACAUAAAUUAAAUGGUAAUUAUUGAUACUUAAAGGUCUAUGUGAAGCAAAAGCUCCUUAAAUUUCACCCUUAACUUGCAAAAAGGGCCUAAUUGGCCUAAGUAUGGCCCAUGUGUAUGAAUGAAGGCUUUAGAGACUUAUUUAAUUAAUUUUUGGUCUGCUUAAGAUAGUGGAUAUACCUAGAAGAUGCUUAAAUAUUCUAGAAUAUUUUAAUAUUUAAUGAUUUUUAUUCGUAUUUAUAUUUAUAAACAUAUUUAUCAUUUAUCAACUUUACUAAAAAUUUAUAGUCUAAUGGUUGAUAUGCAAUAAGAUUAAUUUUGUGUUUAUAAAUUAUAAAUAUGCUUAUAAUUACUGAUCAAUUGGAUUAAUAAAUACUAAAUAAGAAUACUACUAUAAGCAUUGCUACUGCAACAUGAAGUAAAUUAUUUAAUUUGUAAGUAAUAAAUUAUAUAAAGUUUCAUAUUACGUCUUUAUAUAUAAAUUUUACAUUUAAAAACAAUAAAUCGUUGGCCAUGCUGCAAACAUGUAAGAAUGUACUCGAAUAUCUUUAGCAUAUCUUCUUAGGCUCAAGCUAAGGGCAAGUGCAGAAGAGAGGGCAAUUUGGCUAGAGAUAAAGCAUUUAGAGUGAGGAGGGGGGGCUUGGCUAAAGGACCAGCUGGAGGGUAAGGAGCUAGUAUGGAUAAAACUGUAGAAAAUAAAUUAGGGAGCACAAAUAUGAAUUCUCUAUGAUGCUACAGAAAUAGUUUGGAAAGCAUUCAAAGGGUAGUAGAGCAGAGCAUGUUUAUUUUUCCCAGCUCAUACUCAAUCAUAAAAUCAAGGGCCUAUAGCUACUCAAUCCAUCAGUAUUGCUUCUUGUUAAGAUUUUGCUGCUUUAAAAGAAACUAAGUGGUAAAUCCUCAAUGUGAAAUGUGCUAGAACAAGGUAGCGGCACCACUUUCCCACUGCAUGCAUGACCUCUCUUCUCUUCUUUCUCUUGCCUUGGUUGCUCUUGAGCUCAUCCAACCUGUCAAUUGCAGCUCUAGAGGACUUCUUGCAGCAGGAUUGCCACCCACCAACUCACAGCACCAAGAAGAUGCUAUGCACAAAUCCUUCAUUGAGUCCUUCCAUACUUCUAUCUUCUUAGCUGUGAUAGGAAUGACUUCUAUCUCUUUCCCAUGCACUACUUUACUCUCAUACGUGCUCGGGAACACCACUAGCUGGUAUGGAUGAAACUAUAGAAAAUAAAUUAUGGAGCACAUAUAUGAAAUCUUUAUGAUGCUAUAGAAAUAGUUGGGAAAGCAUUCAAAGGGUACUAGAGAACAUACAAUUCUCUAUAAUGCUAUGGAAAACAGUUGGGAAAGCAUUUGAAAGGUAGCCUUGUAUGAUCUGCUAACUUGGUUCUAGAAUGGACAAGCCUUGCACCACUGAGUCAUUUGGCUUCUCAAACUUAUGGGACAAUGCAUCAGAGAGCAUGUUCAUUUUUCCCAGCUUGUACUCGAUUAUAAAAUCAAGGGCCUAUAGCUACUUAAUCCGUCAGUAUUGCUUCUUAUUAAGAUUUUGCUGCUUUAAAAGAAACUAAGUGGUAAAUCCUCAAUAUGGAAUGUCCUAGAACAAGGUAGCGGCACCACUUUCCCAUUGCAUGCAUGAUCUCUCUUCUCUUCUUUCUCUUGCCUUGGCUGCUCUUGAGCUCAUCCAACCUGUCAAUUGCAGCUCUAGAGGACUUCUUGCAGCAGGAUUGCCACCCACCAACUCACAGCACUAAGAAGAUGCUAUGCACAGAUCCUUCAUUGAAUCCUUCCAUACUCCUAUCUUCUUAGCUGUGAUAGGAAUGACUUCUAUCUCUUUCCCAUGCACUACUUUAUUCUCAUAUGCGCUUGGGAACACCACUAGUCUGCAACUGUUUGCAAUGCAUACCAAGAUUCUCAAACCCAACUUGCCUAAGAAGGUGAUGAACUUUUUCUCUCACAAGAACUUGCUCUUGCCACUCUAACUCACUAGAGAACUCUUUUAGGACUUCCAAAAUGCUUAGAAUCACUAUGUUUCCACAGCCAAUCACAAAUAGCUCUAUAAUUCCCUCCUUGCAACUCUAGAAAGAUGGGAUGAGCUCAGAAUCCUCUCCAAACACUCAGUUCUACUACAAGCUUGGGAACACCACUAAUCUGUAGCCAUUUGCAAAUUAUAAAGAGAUUCUUCUCAAAAAACGCUUUCUUCUUUCUAAAAAAUAUGGACCAAAGGGUUAUAGUUGUCCUUAACCUAACCUCCAUCACUCCAGAUGAGGCUAAGAUUUUUAUGAUGUUUAUAAUGCAUCCAUCUCCCAGAAUCUUGGAUUGUUGUCUUGAACUUCUGCCACCUUUAUUGCUUUGCUAGUGAUCAUCAUAAACCCAUCCAAGUUCCCUAUAUUGCUUCGCUCCUGAUCCUCCCACUGAAAUCCCAAAGAUUCCUUAAAUCUCACCACUUAAGAUACUCAUCUGCUAUGUGAAUCAAACCACAUUUAACUAUUUCCAUCCAAGAUUUUGCAUCUUUAUUAUGCCUGCAUUUCUUCGACCCCUGUCAUCAUCAAACCACACUUAACUAUUUCCAUCCAAGAUUUUGCAUCCUUAUUAUGACUGCAUUUCUUCAACCCUUACUGUCCAUGUUUACUAUGUGGAUCAAACCACACUCAACUGUUUCCAUCCAGAUUUUGCAUCCUUAUUAUGCCUGCAUUUCUUUGACCUUGUUUUCGAUAUUUCUUGCUAUCACAACUUCCUCAACAUCUUUUGGCUAUUUUUCAGCUGCCAGGACUUCCUCCUCUGUUAAUGAUGCCACUAAGAAGCCUUGGUCUAGAGAAUCUCAAGUCUCCUUGACCUCAUUACCCUUGUUGCUUACUCCUUUUGCAUGAACCUCCUCUUAACAAGGUUUCUUGAUUCCUACCCCACCUUGUGAUCCCUGUAAUGGACUCACCUUAGUUCCAUAUGGUCUACCUAGAAGAGUAAGUCCUUUCACAGAGAAUCUUGUUGGAAGAAGGACCCAGGAAUAUGGAGGCUUCAGCCUUGCCCUAGUCAUAUCUUACCACAUCCUGUCACUGGCAGCUCCUGAUCCCCACAAGACUUUUGACUUUGAAAGGCAAAUUUAGCCAUGUUCUACCAAGCUUUUACUCCAUAAACACUUGUAAUUCCUUGUUUGCCUUCCUGAUGCUUGAUGUCAUGAAUUUUGCCAUGAAUAACCUUUUUCAUGCAUUUUCAUCUCUAGGAAACACUGCCUCCUACCAUUCUUUAGCCAUCUUGGCCAUUUCCAUAGCCAUGUUUUCUUCAUGAAUGGCCAUCUCUUCUUUCAGCAUCUCAUCUCCAAGUUUGUUGGUGUCUUCCACCAUCAUCUCCACCUCCUGGAUUCUUGAAUCCAUUUUCUUGAGCUCCUAUAUCACGCAAGCCCCACAAGCAUAUGCCAUCUCGAGCUUCUUUGUUGUCCUCUAAUUGAAGGUGGUAAAGAAUUUACUACCUCAUAAGCACCUCCUAGAUACUUUAGCUUUGCUUCAUAAAGAUUCUUUGUCUCUUGGGCAUGCUUUUAGAUUCCAUGUGCCAGUGCAAUGUGAGUUCCCUGGAUGGUGCUGGCAAUGUGCUAUGGCAGGAGGAGGUCUGCGGCAAGUUUUGGGGCGGAUUGAGCAGCCCAAUAUGCUGAGCUUCAUGGCAGCCAUGAGCGCCAUAACAGGGCUAGUGAUGUGCAAGGCGGGGAGAUUGAUCCAUGAAAGUAUUGUCAGGGUCGAAUUGCUCAAGAGAGGCAAGUGGAUCCAUUUGCAGCCCCACUGCCUCGUAUCAAAUAUGGUGGUGAAAAUUCUGCUCAAUAUGUAUGCCAAAUGUGGACAGGUACAAAGGCAUCGCUAUGCUUGCAACUAAUCAUCCUCAAGAUCUCAAUGAAGCUAUGCACAGGCGGGUCACUUUUCUAUUUAGUUGUGUUAGCGAGUUUCAUCCGCCAGAACACCGGGGAAUUUGGAAGAUAUCAUAUGACAAAUUAUAUUUAUCAAAAUAGCUUUUAUUAAAGUGUGUUAACAGAUACAAAAGUAGUUCUUUACUUCAAGAGACAGUGCCAGUUUCCGAGGAAGACAUCAUCGAAGGCAGGUGCGUGGCAGCUUUAGAUUUGUGUUUUAGUUUGUGUUACUAAUACCGGAAUCCACAUACGAAGUCGUUCAAUUUGUCCAAAGGUAAAUCACAUAGCGUUUUUUCAAAGCACUUUGAGCUUAAGUUGAUUCCAGUGCAGGCGCUCACAUUUUGAUGGGCUAAGCAAGCGAUUCAAUGAGGUUGUGUGUUCUUUUUACUGUCGUCCACCUUGCUGAGAAACUUUCUUCAGGCUGCCUUACGCUCUGGUGAUCGGACCAAAGGAUCUAGUGCCUGAAGCUGAAAAGAAACACCUCUGUCAUCUAAAUGCCUUUUCAACUCUUUCUUUUGUUGCAGAAAGUGACGGCAGUCGCAGCUUGAUUAGUUGUCCGGUUUUGACGUGGUAAUAUAGGCUGUUAAGGGUAACACUUGAGCUAAGUGUUGGUACAGCACGGUUUUUUGAAGGAAGAAAAUGGGAGCUGAGCGUUCUAAGCCCGAGUGUCCACAAGGCUGUCAACGAUUUGGGGAUCACUUCUUUUUGAACACUGUUAUCCAAUGUCCACACACAAGAUGAAAUCCUCAUAUAUAUAUAUAUAUAUAUAUAUUAUGUCAGUGCUACUCACUCUCGUCUCUGCGCUCUCUUUUAUGUUGCAGGCGAUUAGCACCUUGAGGCGAAAGAGAGUCCAGGUCGCGACCAAGUUUGGCAGGGAAUCCGAUGUGAUCCAGCUGAAUCAUCUGGGAGACGAAAUCCUGUGAAGUCCACACCCUAUAUAAUUCCAUAGGGCCAGGGAUAAUGCAAGACUGGAAUAGGGAUUAAUGGGUCCGCCGCGCCAUGGAUCUGGAAAAGCGUCAGGCCUGCAGCUCCGGAGAUCCAGACCGCCCGGCGAUGAGCAGCGCCUUGUUCCUCAGGAGAAAGCCGCCGCAUCUUCAGGGCGGAGAAAGCGGAAAGCGGCUGAAGAAUCAGCGGCCGCAAGAGAAAAGAAAAGGUUGCAAUCUAUAGUAAUCCAAAUGGUCCACGAGAAAUCUCCUGGCAAGAUUAUGGACUUGGCCAAGAAGAUGCUCGAAGGUACGGUUUGUUUUUCAUUCCCAACUUCAAGAUAGUUCUCACGAUACAAACAAAAUUUAACAGAUCCAAAACCAACGCCAACGCCAGAGACUUCUGAAGAGACUGAAGAUGAUCCGGGAAUCGUUGAGAGAGCAUUUCAAGGGGAGUAUCAGACUGUGGGGGGAGUAGACAACGUUGAUCUCUUGCGUCAGAAGAUUGAAGAAACAGGAACAUCCUGGGUUGCAAAGAAUCGGAUAGCACCUGUCGUUACUCUAGUGCAGUCGAGUGGCUGGGGAAAGUCGAGGACUAUCUGCGAGCUUGCAAGUCGAGGUGUGUUCGUGGUUUACUGCUCCUUUGCAUCUGCCACCACUACUUACCCGCCAAGGUCUGCCAUUGCGGACUUCUUCUACACAAGCGCCGUCAGGUUGCUCAGCUCGGGUUCUCGGCUUGUGUCAGAGAGCAGGUUUAUGCUCUUCUGCAUGCACUACUUCUCGUCGUGCAUCGAUGUCGCCGUGGACAAGCAGUUGGCGGCAGAGGACUUCCUGCAGGAACUAAUGCUUGGAGAGGAAUUCUGGCGUCUAGUGCAGGCCAAGAUUGAGAGUCGACAAAAACAGUGGGAACGCCGCUAUCCUGCACUUGAAAAGGUACUGCUGGAGGAGCCUAGUAGAGCGACCAAUGUCUGGGGCGCAUGGGAAGAUCGGGUACAUCGGCGAAUGCGGAAUACCGACAAACUGAAGCAGUUACCGGAUCCUCCCAAAGGAAAACUCAAGGUUUUGUUUGUCAUGGAUGAAGCUGGAUGGUUUGGCAGGUGUGAUGAUCAUCGAGCUUUUGCUGCAUUUGAUCCUGCAAGAAGGGCUGCCAGGCUGUUUCCAGGGACUGGAGAGGUCGUUGCCUUAUAUACAGACACCAACGAUUUUGCUGGGAGCAAUGUUGCACCUCCAUGUAGGCCGCACAGCAGCGACCGAGUAGCUGCACAUGGAAUGGCAGUAUCACAUCCAGCGUACUGCUUUUUCCCGGCACACUCCCCAUCAGACACAGGAACAGGUAGCCUUCCGCUUGCCAAAGUGGAAAAUCUUGGUCGUCUGGUCGCUUAUGGUCGGCCGCUCUGGCAAGCACUGUUAAAGGCUAACGGAGAUCCUCAGGAGGUAUUAACUCUGGCUGUCAACAAGCUCCUUGGCGGCGCGAAUUCGCUCAGCAAAUUUGUGGACCAAGGUUUUAUGUUGGAAGAGGCUCCUUUGGCCAUACUUGGCUGCAGGGUGUGCCUCGACAUCAACCCUCAGGCCAGAGUUGUCGCCGGCUUGGUUGCGAGGCACCUGCUUAGCGUGGUGUCUAUCUCUGACGACCGGGAGCAUGUUUGGACGGAUUGGGCCGUCGAGCCAGUGGUUGCAGCGGCUGCAGCAAUGGCUUUGCGUGCGGGGCGAAAGCGGACAGGGUGGCAAUACUGUCUCGAAAAACUUGAGGACGGGCUGAUGCGUGGCUGGGUUGAUCGAGGUUACCGGGGCGAGCUUGUUGCACGAGUGCUGCUAUUACUCGCAGUGGACAGUCUGCAGAAAGAUGCAUGGAGGUGCUUCACUUUUGACGAGCUAUGCCGUGGCCUUUGCGGCACGUCGCUGUCGGAUCUCAGAAGAGCAGAGCUGGGAGUGGAAGACGAGGAGAAGGGCCUUAAAAAUGUUGGUGACGCCAAGUUUCUUUGCUUGCAGUUCAGGAAAACUGACAUUCCACUGAAGGAGCUCACAGCAGAGAAUCUGCUUGCAUUUGGAAAGGCGGGUGUUGGCAUUAUUUGCAGUGGAGGCAUAGACAUUAUCAUCGUAGGCUUUUUCGGUGGUACGUUCAGCUUGGAGACGAUGACCGCCAUUCUGGUGAAAGUGAAGAGGACGAAGACGCUAGGCGACUUGGAUUUGGCAUAUGCUAAAUGUAGCCCGGAGUUUUCUGGGAUGGUGGCUCUACUCGAGGUACCAUACGUGAGCUUGCUCGUGAAUGUUGCUGACAGUUCCAGUGACGAACUUGGAAACUCAGAACGACAAAGCGUCAGUUUCAAAACUGGGAAACUCGUUAAAGCGGCAUUAAUGAAGAAGAUGCCUGCAAAUGUUUCGAUGGAAGUGGCACUCCAGGAAACACACCCAAAUUGCGAAGGUGUUGAGCUAUGGGGAAAGGAGAAAGGAAUGUUGUCCAGGAGCAAAAGACGUUCCUUACGGAAUGUCGAGGCAUGGAAACGAUAUUUUACUCGGGUUGAUGACGAUCUCCAACACAUCGUGGCUAUUAAAGGUGCGUUUUGUGUUGUUUUGUUGACAGUCACAUUGGUUUUUUUCGCAGGCUUGCAGGCAUUCUCAUCCAGGGACCAAGUGAAACCCCUGGUUGACAUGUCUCUGAAAUCCGCUCCAGGGAUGAGGCGGUUAGAGGAGAGGAGUCAGAAGAUAUGUGCAGAGAUGAUGUUUAGCCUUGUCGGAAAGAGCAAACUGCGAAAGGAAAGGAAGUCACUACUCUGGUAAGGAGUGCUUUGCAUCUAUAUUUCUCUUGACGAUAUUAUUUGUGCAGUGGCUGUCACAGUAUAUACAGCUCCAAAUUCUGGAAUGUCGCCGGCUUCCAUCGCUGUAAACUUUUUCAAAAGGGCGCAAGAAGAUCUUUUAUUUGACUAAUAUAAAAGUUUCUUCUGGCCAUGGUCGUCCAUGACAAACUUGAUCUCCAGUGCACCACAGCAGUGUGCCUAGAACUCACGUUCUACCGAUACAACAUCGAAUGGAAGCUCCUCCGAAGAGGCUAAGCUAUACGUCUUCAAUUUCGUUUUCUUUCGUUUCUCGACUAACAAAAGAUCUCUUGAGACUAGAUUUUAAAUCAAAAUGUAAGAUAAGAUGGACAUAAGAUGAAUGAGCACAGGCUCUUUAGUUUUAUUUUCUGGAUCUUAUUACACGCUGAAGGUUGGUUGUUUGUAGACAUGUGUAAAUAACCUGGUUAAACAUUUGUAUGUUUGCCGUCGCGAGUGGAGUUCAAAAAAAUCACCUCAUGGUGUGGUGCUUAUUUACUACACCAUUAAAAAGUUCGCCCGCUUCGUCCAAAACGAUCUAUGGUUGUAGAAUUAGUGAAAAAAAAAGAAAGAAAAGCGACCCAGAGAUGCAUGAAAAUGUUACAGGCCCCUUGACCUCACCAAUGGAAGAAAAUACGUAAGCAUUUCGGUAAGGAGAGAGGAAGAAUCUGUGAAGUAAACUCUAGGCGAGACGCAAAGCACGAAGAACACUUGAGAAAGUUCUAGGAGAUCGCCUGCCCUAGCUAAAUCAAAGAGGGAAGAACUCAGAUUCGCCUUUUCUCAGCCAAAUCGUCGCAAGCUCUCAGUGAUGUCAACGUAUCAGCCAUCGCUUGAUGCGAAGACCACGAUCAUCAAACUCACAACAAGACUUGGAUUGCGCUGAUUUUCUGUCGAAUCAUCACCGUUCCUGGGCAAGAACAAGGGCACUUCCACGAGGGAGAAAACCAAACUCGCUCCUGCCCAUACCUCCUCGCCAUCAAAAUCAUCUUUGCUGCGAGAUCGCGUCACAAAAAAGGCAAAACAGGAGGCACCAAUCGAUCAUCCCACGCCGCAAGAACAGGGCAUCAGACUUAAACUAAUGAGCGUAAAGGAGAGCCCUACCAGGGACGGCCGAGAUUAAAUCACUGCUCCAACGGCCACGAUCUCUUAUGGCGUUUAGCCCAGAUUAACAAAGUUGAGAAGGUUUACCAGCAACGCAGUCAAUGGCGCUGACUGGAAAUUGAAAUUUGACUGUCCAGUCAAAUAAAUAGUCUGCGAGGAUCCGGAGCGUGAUCACGAAAAUGGCUCGUGGAAAUCUCUCCUCGCUGCCGUCACUGCUGCUUAUUCUCAUUUCUUCCUUGAUGAUAUUCUCAUCCCGCGCUGCCGAUCCCGAUCCAGCGCAGGAUUACUGCGUCGCAAACGUCGAGCUCCCGCUGCGAGUGAAUGGCUUCACUUGCAAGCCCGAGGUCACUCCGCUCGAUUUCGUCUCCUAUCUCCUGCGAGAGCCCCCGAAUCCCACCGCCCUGGAGAACAAUCGACUGGGUUCCAUCGUCACGCAGGUGAACGUCCAGAGUUUCCCGGGGCUCCACACCCAGGGCCUCUCGAUCCAGCGCUUCACGUACGCGCCCGGAGGCGUGAUUCCUCCCCACGUCCAUCCCCGGUCCUCGGAGCUGCUCUACGUCCUCCAGGGAACGGUCGUGGCGGGGUUUGUGACCACGGACAACCGGCUGUUCCAGGCGACGCUGGAGCCUGGCGACCUCUUCAUCUAUCCCAGAGCUCUCAUCCACUUCUCGGUGAACACGGGCGAGACGCCGGCGCUGGCGAUCGCGAGCUUCAACAGCGCCAAUCCGGGCACGGCGCUGCUGCCCAACGCGCUCUUCGCGUCCGUGCCCGUGCUCCCGGCCGCGGUGCUCGCCAAGACGUUUGCGUUGAGCCAGAGGGUCAUGGAGAGCUUGCGGCUCGCAUUGAGGAGCAUUCUAACCUAGCUAGUAGCAGUAGCAGUAGUGAUCUAUCGAUUCUCUGUCGCGAUUAUCUAUAUCCAUCCUCCCAUCGAUCGAUCGAUCCAUUCGUGCUUUGAAUUUAAAUUUGAAAGGUCUUUUCCUAAUAGAAUACCCUAUAAAAUCUUGCAAACAACUUUAAAUUGAGGUUUAGAAAAGGCUGGCGGAUAGGUCGCGCUUCUUCGAAAGAUGGCUGCCCAAGCUUCUCUCCCUCGCCAAUGUUUUGUCUCGCAGGACAAUCCGUGUGAUCAGGGAAUAUCUAUCCUCAUCAGAGGACGUCGAAGAUGACAUAGUCCACAUCGAAGUGACGAACAACGAGGGAGCGUUGGAGGGCACUGUUCAAGUCAGUCGCUGACAAGGCGUUUGAGGUGCUUGAGGCGGCAAUGGCGCGUGAGCGUGAGCGUGAGGCGGAGGCGGCAGCAAUAAUCAGUAAGUUCCUCUUCUUGCUUGUGUAUUUCGGUCUCAUGUCGAUUCUUCCGCGUGAGCAAAGCUCGUACUUGGACUUGGAAAAUGCGCAUCAGAAUGAUGGGCGGAUUGUGACAGUCCAGCACGCCAUCUCUGGGAGCACGAAGCGAUACUCAGUGGGGCCGGUUGCUGAAAUGUUUGCAAGGAACGUCCAAAAGCUCCUCACGAACCUACGGGCCGACAUCGAGCGCCACCCUAACCGCUGGCAAAUCCGCCAGUGCGUUCGGGAGCCGGAUGACUCCUGCAAUGAUCUCGGCAAGGUCUACCAGCAUGCAGCACGACUGGUAGUCGGCCACUGUACCACGCAAAAUGUUGACAUACACAACUUCACAAAGUGCUGCCAGUUCCAGAGGAACAGACUAAGCAAGAUCAGCGGCAGGCGACAGCACCUUACUUGACUUGGCUAUUGGCAUCGUCCAUCCGGCCAUGGUGGUAUCGACUAAUGCUUACGAGUGGUGCGACAUCUACGUGGAGUUCAUAAACGACGAAUCCAAGCUUGCUGAGGGGUGUGGCCAGGUUCUGGACAGGGCGGAGAAGCGCCGGAAAGAUGCUUGCGCAAAGAAGAAGGUGGCGUUGGGUGGUGUGUCUACAGGCAAAGAUCUAUUACCUAUGGUCGUAUUCACAGACGCUGGAGCCUUCCCACUCAUACAAGGAGAAGUAUGUCGUGCGGUCUGAUUCAGGCGAGAUAUGGGAGCGAGAGCUCGUCCACACGUACAUGGACUUCCUCUUCCGCGGGGGCUGCUAUUUGGUUCGGUUGGAUGGCAGCAAGCAGCAAGUGGUGCUCAAGCGAGGCCCCAUGCAGUCGGUCAAGUGUGCAGCUGAAGGAUUUGGUCUUCCAAUUGAGCUCUUCAGCCAGGUUGAGAAUGAGAUCCGCGUUCGGGAGAUUCUGGCUGCCAGUGGAUGCAAGAUCAGGAUCCCCGAGAUUCUGUGGUCGGGCACGGCUUUACACCCGUUUGGCUGGAGAAACUGCCCGAUCGUGCUCGUGAAUUACGUUGGUGAAUCGCUACACAGCAAGACGCUUCCUAUCCGAGACGCCGCCAAGAUGGGAGCUAGCCUGCUGGAGACGGUGCUGGAGCUGCACAAGCGGGGGAUAAUCCAUAGAAACAUCAGCCCCAGGAACGUUGCUUACCGCGAGCAAGGAGUUGGUUUGGAGAGGUUCCACCUUCUCGACUUUGGGAUUGCCGCGAUUUCCUCGGACAAUGGUGGUAGCGUGGGAAGCAGCUCUGUCAAGGACCUGGAGUUUCGCUCCAUGAACUCGGUGUUGGGCAACAGCGUUGACGCUUCAGCGGAUCUCGAGGGUAUUCUGUAUACGAUGGUAAAGGUGGCCGGGAUGGAUCUACCGUGGUCGACUGCUGCGCAGGAGGAGGACGAGGACUUGGUGGUUACCAUCCGGCGCCAAGUGUUGGACCAGGGCUUCCUUGCGGAGUUCAAGGACGCCCUGAUGUUCCUUGACCUUCGUUUCACCAUAUGAUCAUUUCCAUUGUCUAGCCUCUAAAUCUCCCGGCUCGCCCCUGCUCGCCAAGACGUUUGCAUCGAGCCAGAGGGUCAUGGAGAGCUAGAGUAGUGACCAAUCGAUCCUCUGUCUCAGUUUGAAUUUAAAUUUGAAAGAACUUUCAACGACUAUAGAGAGGAAUUAGGGUUCUUGCAAUGUCGCAGCUACAACGACUGUGUCUUUGGCGACGGCGGGCCUUGGAUCGCUCUUUUCAACAUCUAGAAGCUGGUGAGGAAGAUUCAUCGUCGCAACGCAAAUGAAUCCCGCGCAACAAGCUCGUGAGCGGUCGGCCCUCGCCAUCAUCUUUCUGUGCUCGCCCCAAAUUUCGUCGCGGCGAGCUCGAGAUGGAAGAUCGGUCGAGAAAUGGGGUGGAGCAGCCGGUGAUCGGGCAGGAUAGCAACAGGAAGCUCCGGAUCUUGAGCAUCGAUGGCGGUGGAAUGAGAGGAAUCAUCCCAGCCCAUAUGCUGGCCUACUUGGAAACGGCUCUCAAGGAGAAGAGCCACAAUCCAGACGCUUGCAUCGCCGAUUUCUUCGAUCUGGCGGCUGGAACCAGCGUUGGGGGACUCAUUGCCGUGAUGCUCUUCGCAUCAUCCGACUGCCGCGAUGAUCAAGGCGAAGAAAUCUCCUCCUCCUCCUCCUCAUCGUCCACGGGAGAUCAUCAAAACCACGGUUCUAAGUCACUACGUCGGCCUCUCUUCACGGCCGCAGAGGUUUGCACGUUCAUCUCGGACAGAGGCAAGGAGAUUUUCAAGAUCCCAUACCCCCAGCGAGUGUUUGCAAAGGUCCGAGGGAUCAUGACACCCAGGUACUCCACCAAGUUCUUCGAGAGAAUCCUCAAGCAGCACUUGGUCCGAGGUGGUGGCGAUGGCAGAGAUCUCACGCUGGAUGACACGCUCAAGCCCAUCGUCAUUCCCUGCUACGAUCUCACAAACGCCAGCGCCUUUUGCUUCUCGCGAAUCUCCGCCAACUUCAAGCUCUGGGAGGUUUGCCGGGCUACCACGGCGGUUCCAUCGUUCUUCAAGCCCAUCCACGUCUCGUCCGUGGAUGGAAAGCACGAGUUCACGGCAGUCGACGGUGGCCUGGUGGUGAACAAUCCCACCGCCGCGGCGAUCACGCAUGCUUUGCACGACAAGGCUCGCUUCCCGGGUGUCCGAGGGGUGGAAGACAUGCUCGUUCUAUCGCUCGGCACCGGACAGUUUGAUCAAACUUACCGCUACAACAAAGUGGAGCGGUGGGGAGCUUUCCAGUGGGCCAAACCCAUUGCCAAGAUCAUCAUGGACGGAAUCUCGGACAUGGUGGAUCACACGGUCAGCAUGGCGUUUAGCAGGCACCGAGAGAAUUACGUGAGGAUUCAGGUGGGUUAUCUAUCGUUGAGAGUUUGCUUUGACGAACGACUAAAGUUUGUUUGCUUUGCUUCCAGAUGUCUGGCUUGCCGGGCAAAGCUCUCCUCGCAAUGGACGAUCCAAGCCAGGCCAACGUGAAGACACUAACCGAGAUUUCUACUCGGCUCUUGGACCAAAAGAGCUCGGAACACAUCCCGUUUAACGGGCGAAGAGUUUUGGAAGAGAGUAACAGACAGAAGCUGGACUGGUUUGCCGAGCAACUCGUGGCAAACACUCCAUCGUAAUCGAUUGAAUAUAGUUUCUUAUAUACAGGAUCUUUCAUAUGCACAACGAUGCGAAGCUUUUUACACAAUCUACAGGGCUUGGGCGGUACUCGAGCAUGCCUCCGCGCUAGCAGCAGCCAUGCGAGGUACGUCCACUCCUUCGUUGCAAAGAUUUGCAAACGCUCUCAUGUGUUUCAUGCCAUACUGUCCCAGCAAACCACAGCUCGUCUCGAAAGCUUGCACCUAAAAGUCACAUCACAGAGAGAAGAUCAUCGAAAAGAUCACACAAAGUUCUCGAAGAACACUUGCCAGCGAUUUCAGGCACGUCCAAUCGUCCACGAGCGCGAGGCCGGAGCCCCGGACGGUGCUUAGAACUUUGGAUGCCGCAGCCUUGGAGCCAAACAGACGCUCGCCAACUCGAUCCACGCUCUCGUCGACGUGCUGUCUGUGAGCCAAGGCGUUCAUCAUCCUCUCGCGAGCUUCUCGUUUGGAGUCACUUCCAUCCUUGGCUCGGCGAUACUACACUCGACGAAACGAUGCGAUCAUCGAUCUAGAAAAGAAAAGUUCUUCUCUUCGUACCUUGCUCCACAGGUGUAGCAAAUCCGCAUCACGCUGGCUAACACCAUUGGCACUGCUCGGGAUGAUCAAGUCGCCAUUGCCAUCCGCGAUUGCGGGAUCAAAGCCCAAGAACAUGGAAAGCGGGUUAGAGUUGAGCUCCACGUCGCCGUAUUGCAUUACGUGUGAUCCGGCCUCGUAAGUGUUGUGAUUCGAGGUUCUAUCUUUCACCUGCAAGAUCGAAGUAAAAACCAAGAGAUCCCGAUCGAUUCAGCAAACUCACGUCUAGAUACUGUUGAAGUAGCGUCUCCCUCUUGAGAUUGUGAACUUCGCUGUUUGGAAGAGAGAUCCCGUAAGCUCAAACGUCAAAAAAACUUAGAACUUUAGAAGAACCUGUCCUCCAUCCAAGCGACGCUGUAGAGAUCUCCCAAGCAAGUAUCAUACUCAGGAGGAGCCGAGGGUACCAUUCCAGGGCAGUAAGUUCCCCAGCUGCUCUCGAUCGCGUUGGAAGCAGUGGUAACGUAAAGACCCAGUCCCAGUGGAAGCAAUCCCUCGACCAUGCUGCCACUCUCGCAAGCCUCGAUAUAUAUCACCUAAAGUUGGCAGCUCGAGUAGUAGCAUCUUCUUUAGCUCACGACGAACAAAGAAAGAACAAAGAUGAAAAGAUCUUUACCAUUUCUCUGUAGCCUCCGGAUGCGUGCUUCUUCUUGAUGACGUCGAUGAGAUCAUUUGCGUAGAGAUUCGACUCUCCGGGCAUUCCUGUCAAGCACGACAAGCUAAGUUGUUUGUCUUUCUCGAGUCUAGAACAAAGAAGGAAUCACCGAGAACUCCAGGGCCUCCGUGAUCCGAGUAGAAGAGAAAGACAUGAUCUUCCGGCCCGCUGCUCACGACUUUGCCAGUUCCGCCGCUGGUGGAAUUCUUGUCCCCGAGAAGAACAGCCAGGAAAUUCUCGGCGGUCACGGCAGCGCCCGUGUAAUCCUGGCCACAGAACAAUCAAUCAAUAACGUAACUUCCAAGAAAUCCGCGAACAAGUCAAAACUCCUUCACCUUUGGAACUCCGGCAUAAACGUCGGAUCCUUGGGGAUGAUUGAUGAUCGUUCCCGGGCGAGGAUUGUCCGUGUUGUUGGCUAUGUCGUCGAACAUCAUCACCACAAUGUUUUCCUCCUUGAGACCAUUGCUGCGCAGCAACUGGUAUGCAUGGCAAACAUCCGCCUGGAGGAAAGAGCAGUUUGGAAGCAAACAAGAGCAAACGAAGAACUUAGAACAAGAAGGAAGCGAAGAACAUAGAGAAAGAAAGCGAUGGAAAGACUCCUCUCACCUGGUGCCUGUAGUUGCCAAACCCGGAAGAUCCAGCAACUAGCAGCGCCCACCUCGUCCCGGACGCAACUUCCUCGCUCGAGGGCAUGCGAAUUGGAUUGUGGGCUGCGAAAAAGUCCAGUGGCCUGGCCGCCGCCACCGCCACCGCCACCAUCGCUAGAACCAGCCACAGGAAGAAUCCCACUCCCAUGACGGCGAUCUCUCUCUCGAGAACGAAAGAAAGAAAGAAAACCAAAGGGUUACGAGAGAGCUUGAGUCUCUCUCUCUCUCCCUUUAUCGUGAACAGUACGAGAGUGACACCACCUAAACUCCCAAAACUCUAGCCAAGACUGUCGAGGAAUCCAUCGACGUCGGCCUUGAUGGUGCUUAGAUCCGCCUCGGCGCUCAAGCUCAGCUUGCCAUCGCUCACGCUCACCAGCACCUUGGCCUGGAACGCGUUGGCGUAGGCAUUGGGAUUGCAAAACAGCUCGAAUCCCACCUCCUCGCCAUCGCCACCAUCGCCACCAUCGCCAGCGCUGUAUGCAAACUCGACGCUCUUGAGCCUCUUGGGCCGCCCUCCUUCCUCGUGCGCCUGCUGCUUCUCCCGGAACGUCUGGAUCAAUGCCUCCAUCGUCCCGCUCAGCGCUCGCGCCUUGUCCAUCGACAUCGGCAUUGUGAUGGACGUCUCGCCAACGUGAAGCGUCAAGCUCUUGGACGCGAUCGUCGUCGCCCCCGCGGCUACCAAAACACACUAAAAAUCCCACCUUUGCCUCGAAUUCGACAUCUCACCUGCGCUGGGAUUGCCGUUGGAGCUCGAGCAAGCGGUCGGCAAUGCGGUGUGCCUGUGUGACAAGAACACUCUGGGAAGAGCAACCAUGCCCGCCAUAGCCAUUGUUCUUCCGGGCCACAAAAACUAACAAACCCUCGAUCUUCUUCCUCUCUAUCUUAGCUCCAAAUGGCGGCAGCGAUCAAAUGGGACGAUGGCUUCCCCAAGUUCGAUCUCGACUCGUUUAGCUCCAAGAGGAAGCGAUCGCUCAAGAGAUCCUCCAAGAACAACUGGCUCCAAAGAUCGCUGCAGUGGAUCGAGGAGAGGAACCUGGGGCCGGGCGGCGGCGCUGGGAUCGGGUGUGGAGUUGGGCUGGGAUUGGGCGUGACGGGAUCGCUAGGACUGGGCGCUGGAUCCUGGAACGAUCUCCGUGUCAUCUUCGGAGUAGGCGCCGGGUGCGGCGUUGGAAUCGGGUAUGGAAUCGGGCAUGGGCUUGGCUUUCUCUGGGAUAGGCCACCACCAUCGCCACCACCACCAAAACGAAAUUUUGUCUCGUGAUUCUUCUUCCUCCCAAGAACAAGAAUAAGAUCUCUUACGUUCGAUUUCCAUAGCUAAAGCUAGAAGAUAGAAUCGUUCCAUAGCUACGUAGAAGAAAGCUAACUAGAAGAUAGACUACGUAGAAGAAAGCUACCUAGAAGAUAGACUACGUAGAAGAAAUCUAAGAAGCUCCAUAGCUCAUAUGAAUAUGGACCAAGGUCUCCAAGUAUAUACAAACCGGGUAAAAAUCCCAUCUUGCUCGAUCUUCCUCCAUUUCAUCUCUCGCGAGCUUCACGAUCUUGCCGGGCAUGGCCGGAGGAUCGCCCCCAUGUCCGUCUUGUACGCCUGGCGGCACCCCGGGCAUCGCCCAUCAUCCGACGCGAUCCGGUGGUGGCAAAACAAGCACAGCCGGAAGCCACACGCGCAAGGCUGAAACGAGGAAUCGGUGCUGUCCAGCUCCUCCGUGCAAAUCGGGCAGCACGCCGGCCCCGCGCUCGCGGCCGCCGCCGCUACCGAUCUCGCGAAGAAAUCCCUGUGCCUGUUCGUCACCCACGCCGCUGGCGGCCGCGGCGGUGGCGACGCUACUCGUCGCUCCACUCCAGUCGGCCUGGGAAGCAGCGGCGGUAGCGAGCUCGGGGCGAUGAUCCUGGGAAGGCUGGCCGGACGGAACGUAUCCUCAACCUUCCAAGCUGCGACGGCGGCUGGCGGAGAGUUCCUGGCGUCCUGGUGGUGGAUCAUCCUGUCGUCCCUGUGCCUGUUCACCACCAUCGCCACCUUUUCCUUCUCGGCCGGAUCCUUGUUGAGAUUCAUCUGGGAGUCGAGAGCGUCGGCCGCGGCCUCCCAAUCCUCCUCCUCCUCCUCCUCUCCCCCAUCCUUUCCUUUCUCUCCACCGAGAACUUUGUCACAGUCCCCGGAAGCUUUGUUCUUGCUCUUGCUCUUGCCUUUCCUGCCAGAUCUUCUCUUCCCUCCCUUGCUGCUCAUGUCGGGAGGAUCCAACACCACGCCCCUCUGACUAGAGCAAGAAAUGGAUGAUUUACUUACACUCGAGUUAAAAUUACAGGAGAGGAGGUCGAGCGGCCCACCGUCGCACAGAUCGUCGUGGUUGAUCACGCACGACUCGGCGUCACUGUCGCCUCCGGUGCUCGAUCCGUGGAGGUGUUGCUCCUCACCCAACUUGGGCGAUGGGCUCUCAAGCACGGAAUUCGGAGACAAGCUCGCCACAAGCUUCCCUACACAGGAAAAAAAGGGGGAAAAACCAUUCACUCCAUCCAUCCACCCAAGCGAGAAAGGAAGAAAAAGUCUGUGUCGCCUACCUUGAGAGAGCCAUUGCUCGCGCCGGGCAUCCAGCUUGAACUGCUUGAGCUUGGCGUUCCUGUUCACCUGCGCAAGAGAAGGAAGGAGACCAUGAAUUAGGGUUUAGAGGAAACCGUGGGAGCGCUGCCAAAUCCUUACCCUCUUUCGCUUGCUGGCGUCGCGGGCGAGGAGCGAUUCCAAGGGGAGCUGGCUCGCGUCCAUGGCGAUGGCGAUGGAGCUGGAAGAAGAGAUUUUCGCGAUUUUGUUGGAAAGAGAGAAAGGGUAGGAAGGAAGGAGGAGAUAUCAAAUAGUAUAACGAAAAAGCACGGCCGCGGCGGCGAAGAGCCCACUGAUGAUUUAACGGAGGAGGAAGACGACACGCCAAACCGGAUUGGACGGCCAGGAUUGCUUCCGUUUGACCGAAGCAAGCUCCGAGCCGAUGAAGCAUUCGCUGACACGUGGCAUCAUCGUAUAUGAUCUUUUUCUUGGCGAGUUGCGUGUUCGAUGCCUGACAGGGGAAGAAAUUAUAUUAACGGAUAAAAAAGAAAGUGCCGUUACUCGCAGGAAAGUCAAUACAGGAAUAUACCUCCUUCACUCGAACUUGAAAUUAGGGUUCUAGCGCAGCAGGCAUGGUGAUCUUGCGGCGGAUGCGCACGCUUCUCUUUCCGCCCUUCCUGGCACUCUUGGCGAUCAUCUUCUGGAGCGCCUCUCUUCAGAUCCCGAGCGCCUCUGUUCUCGAUUUCGAGUGUCUCGUGUGUCAUGGCGUCAAUGUCGUCAAAAAUCCAUUGUGGCAAUUGGGCGCGCUCAGCCUCGAGAGGGAUCCGCCCAAGCAGCGAUCCGAGAGCGAGAUCGUGGUAGCCAGCGACAGCGUAACAGGGCUGCCAAGUCUAGAUGAUCAAGAUCGCGUCUUUCAGCUGGAAAUUCCUUCUACUUCUGCGACGGCAUCAGCUGAUUUGGAAGGCGGUGAAGAUGAGAUUGACAAACAAAAGGAGAUUGGUGAAUUCUUCCAGGAGCUCCAAAGGAAUUCAUCGUCCACUAUAGCCGAUCGUAACAGCACUCUUGAAGAUUCCAGCCAAGCAGGGGAGAGGCCGCUACAACCGCCCAACGAUCCAUCAAUAGCUCGAAACGCUUCCAUUAAUCCCCCUUCUAUAAGUUCCUUGACAGCUGAUGGUCAAGAGGAGAAGCGUGCGAUCCAGGAGGUGGAGCGACUUAUGCAAUUCUUGCGAAGAUCAGGAUCAGGCCAGGUAAAGAAGUCUCCACAGGAUUGUCAGGGAAGAAACGUCUAUGUCUACGAUCUUCCACCCAAAUUCAACGCGGAUCUCCUCAAGCAAUGCGAAACUCUGCUGCCAUGGAUGAGCAUGUGUGAUUUCGUCCGCAAUUCGGGAAUGGGUCUUCCAGUUUCGAUCGACGCCGCUCGCGAUUUCCUCACUCCUCGCGGAUCUUGGUUCAAGACGCACCAGUACGCGCUGGAGAUGAUCUUCCACGCCCGGAUCCUCGACUACUCCUGCCGGGUGCUCGAUCCAUCCCUCGCCGACGUGUUCUACGUGCCCUACUACGCCGGCCUGGACGUGAUGCGAUCGAAUUUCAUGCCCAACGUGAGCAGCGCACAGCGCGACGUGUUGGGCGACGAGCUCAUGACAUGGCUGACUAAGCAGCCGUCCACGUGGAAAACGGGCGACCGACGUGACCAUGUCAUAGCUCUGGGAAAAAUCUCCUGGGAUUUCAGGCGUAUGACAUCGGACGCAAGAUGGGGGAGUAAUCUCCUCGCUCGCGCCGACAUGGCCAACGUCACCAAGCUUCUCAUCGAGCGCCACCCCUGGCACCCCAAUGACGUGGGCGUGCCACAUCCCACCUUCUUCCACCCGGGCUCGGACGCGGACAUCACGACGUGGCAGGCUCGCGUGCUCCGGGACGACGUCCGGCCGAGCCUCGUCGCCUUCGCGGGCCAGCCCAGGCCCGGGCAGGCGGGGAGCAUCCGUGGGGAGCUGAUACGGCAGUGUACGGCUCGCUCGGACCUGUGCCGGAGCUUGGACUGCGGCUCCAGGGCUUGCUUUGGUCCCGAGGCGACUCUAGGUUUGUUUUUAGCCUCGGAUUUUUGCCUCCAGCCAGUUGGCGACAGCCCGACCCGGAGAUCUGUGUUUGAUUCGCUGCUGGCCGGCUGCAUUCCGGUUUUUUUCGACCCCUUCACGGCCUACUACCAGUAUCCAUGGCAUCUUCCGUCAAAUGGUAGCGCAUAUUCUGUUAUGAUCGCGGCAGAUUCUGUUACCGACGUGGAUAUCGUGGGCGAGCUCCAGAAGAUUCCAUUCGCACGGAGGAAGGAGAUGCGGCAUUUCAUUGUCCACGAGAUUCUCCCCGGGAUCGUCUACGCGCAGCCGGGAUCCAAACUGGAGAAAUUCGAGGACGCUUUCGACGUUGCCAUGAAAAACGUGAUUGCCAGGGUCGCUUCGAGAGAGAUUUACGAUUCCAGCGAGCUCAGAUGAUCGAUCACCCAAAGUUUGCUUGUUGUAUAGAUUUAUAAACACAAUGACACACACACGACACAUUCUUUUAUAUCUCUUUCUUCACGGCAGCAAAAGCAAAUGGUGUUCCACAUAAGACUUAUACAAAGUGUUCUUCCGUUCUCACAUCAUCUUUGUUUUUGCUAUCCAUCUUGGACGGCUCAUAAAUUAAUCCUUGAGGACUCCAAUGGGAAGUAGAAGAACGAUGGAUCCAUCCAUCCCAUCACUCCCGCAGCUCGAGCUCGAGCUCUAAAGCCAGGCCGCGGUUUGCUAGAUGCUACAACUCCCAUUCACUUCAUGCCUCGGCCCAGAGCGUGGAGAGGAAGAGCUGUCGAACGAACUUUGAUCGAACGCUUGCCUCUUCCAGCUUCUGCUCUCUCUCUUCGGCCGUGAGGGAGCAUUCAGCACUGUUAAGAUCCAAAAAAAUCGCAACUUGAUCAGCAACUGCUGCGAGAAAUCACUUUCGUAUACAAAGACAUACCUUAGCUCGGCUGGAGCUGUGGAAGUAGCAAGAGAAACCGAGUCCGAGUUAUCCAAGCUCAGCUUGGAAGAAUCGUCAAUCUCGGAUAUGGGCAUGUUACAGACAAGCGUGGACAAGAAGAGAUCCGGAAUUCCAGAUCCUGUCCUUGCCGGAGAGCACGCUCCCAGGAGAGCCUGCAAGUGUGCUUGAUUCAUGUCCUUCCCACUGAAGGGAAAUCCGGAAUGGGACGUGAUUCCCGGCCUCCUAAACUUGCGACGCCUCUGAAAGUAAGCUUCUCGUCAAGGAUAAUACAAACGAGGAACCGGAACAAAGAUAAGAAAACCAACUUUUUCGAAGGAUAUCUUGAAGAGAUUUCCGUGAUGAACUGUGAUAUGGCUGAUCAUGUCCUUCCCGACUUUGGCAGCACACACGGGACACAGCUAUAGACACAGAAACGCAAAGAAUCAAAAUCCACGAAGGAAGAAGAAGAAAAAAAAGAGAAUUUUCUUACCACAGGUCUUGAUUCGGAGAAAUGCUCGUCCUCCAGGUGAGAACACAGAGAGAGCAAGUCCAGUCCCUCGAAACAGUAUGGACAAGCAAAAUCCGGUCUCAGUUCCUCAUCGCCCUCCACAUCAUCCACAGUGAAGUGCUGAUCUGCAUUGCGAGCGCAGAAAACCAAUGUAACACCCACGAAAAAAUUCGAUAGUGGAAAAGGAGGAGAAGAGAGCUUUAUAGCUUACCCAGCAUCGAAUGAACGGCGUACUGGCGCUUAGAAAGCAAGCGAGCUGCCCACAUAUCGCCCUCCAUGCUUGCUUCCGCUGCGAAUGCGGCCGAACGGCGAUGAGCACCUCAAAACCCUGGUCAAUCCCGGCCCGCCGCUGCAACCACACACGAUUCUUGCGACGGCCGCGCACACGAGAGGAAUCGCGACAUACCGGAGGGGGGAAAUCGAGAAUGCCGCCGCGGCGUCGCUAUCUGGGCGCACACAAGCUUCCCUCUUGUGUGGAUAUGGCGUCCCCGAACCUGGACUGGGAUCCCAGACCUAGAAUCCCGAACCUGCGGUUACCGUGCCACGCGGCCGCGGCGAUCUUUCCAUUUUGCAACCGCAAAAACAUUAUAAGGCUAUCAUAGACACGUGGCGCGGAGCCAUUGGCUGCAGUAGUUGACUUCGCCGUGGGUACUGUACGAAGAACAGGGUAAAAAAGCGGCAUUACUUUCUCUUUCACUUGGAAAUCCAGUAAAGGAACAUCAAGAAAGUGCAAACUGAAAUCACGGCUGACAAGAUCAAUGUGUCCUGGUUUUUUUUUCUUCGAAUCGCAACUAGAACAUGGUUCACCUGGAAAGCACGCAUCAAAAAAGGAUUUUUUUUUUAUCCCCACACUGAUCGAUCUGCGAACUUCUUACCGACGGUAGAAUCGAUCCUACGUUGUUGAUCUUGAAUCCGAUCGUUCCAAACAAGCUUCGCUGCGUGGACAGCGCGCUGAGAGCUGCGUGUGCUUGAUUCACGACCGAGUCUAUCUGAGAACCAAGUCACUGUAAGAAAAAAAGGAAGUAACUUUGUCUAGAUCUUAGAAGAACCUGAGCAGUAGAUCUCUGGAUGGAGCUCCUCUCUUGCACAAGGGGAUCAACUUCCAAUCUUCUCUCCGAUGGCGAUCGAAAAGAGUGGAGCAAUUCGGCGUGCUCGCGAUUGUCUUUGGCAAUAGCUCGUUUCCUCUUAAACUCCUGCGAGAGCUCUCACUAUGUCAAGGAGAAAAGAAAGUUCUUUCUCAUACAUUUUCUUACCUGGACGAACUCGUGAGAGAUGUUUAGAUGGCGUGCCAAGGUAUGAGAAACAAUGUCAGAACCGAUCGCUGACAUCAAAGACUGCAUACUCGAAUUGAUUUGCUGGAGUUGCUUGAGCAGCCUCUCGAUCUCCGCUUCACAAUCCUCCCCCGACUGAUCUGGCCGCCCAAAACUCGCAAGCUUGGCAUCGAUCUCAUUCUCCAGCCUUCGCGCCUGGCAUUAAACCCUUAGAGAGAAUUCUCACGGAUCAAGCGCCCAUUGCUCACCUGCUUGCGGAGAUCGUCCCAUCCGACUCCGGCGAAGCUCGGAUCCACCGCCAUUUUCUUUCUUCUUCUUCCUCACGAACCCUAAUUGGAAGCCCUAGUCAGUGACAAAAAAAGAGAAGAUACCAAAAUUUCAAAUUCAAAUUCAAACCAUUCGCGGCAAUCGAUCGAUCAAUGAACGCCUCCAAAAACGAAGAAGAUCUCUCUCCCGUGAAACUCGAGUGGGUCCUCAAAUCGAUCGUGAGCUUUUUUUUCUCGGAAAUUCAACGUGAUCGCACGUAGCUCACUCAAUGGUAUAUCUUUGAGCGCUCGCGCGAUCUCCCGAGCGAUGGCGAAAUGGAGCAGCAAAGAAGAUUGGGACAAACAACGCCAGCGCCAAAUCCAAAACCUGUUCCUCACGGUUCUGUGCCUCAGCCUCGCCGUUCUUCUCAUCGCUGUGCCUCGGGAAUACAGAACAACGCAGACCUUCUCGAGUAAGAGCUAGAACUUUUGACAGAGAUUCUUGGCUUACUUGUGAUCGAGCAGGAGCGAGCGAAAGGAUCGAAUCCACAGGUAAGUCCGGUGCUACGUCGAAGAAAACCGUGGAGGAUGGUGUUGCCUGUGAUCUUUCAAACUAUCGCACAGCAGUGUGUCGCCUCGCUGGUGAUCUGAGAAUCAGCGGCAGCACGGUGACACUGUUUAGUCCUCGCAACACCGACGAGGAGAUCCUCGUCCAAAAGAUCAAGCCAUACCCGAGAAAGUGGCAGAAGCAGCUGCUCGAAAAGAUUAGCGAGGUGACGAUCAAAGUGAGAAGAUCCAGCUCCUCAACUCCACAGCACCAGUGUGAUGUCAACCACACGCAAGCCGCCAUGAUCUUCUCGACUGGAGGCUACACCGGAAGUGUCUACCACGACUUUAACGAUGGUCUCAUCCCCAUCUAUAUCACCUCGCACGGAUUCGAGGGCGAGGUUGUGUUCUUAGUCUCCGAGUUUCAGCCGUGGUGGAUGAAGAAGUACGGUAGCAUUGUCAAGCAGAUGACCAAGUACCCCGUCCAAGACUUUUCCAGCAACCCCGCGCAGCACCGCGUCCACUGCUUCCCCAAAGUCGUGGUCGGUUUGGACAUUCACGACGAGCUUGCCAUCAAUGCCGCAAAGAUGUCGCAUGGAAAGUCCAUCCGAGACUUCCAAUCCAUCCUCAGUGCUGCCUUCUCGGCCUCGGACAGUCGGACCAAAGUUCCAAGCACCAGGCCGAAGCUCGUCUUCAUCACUCGGCGAAGAACUCGGGUUGUCACCAACGAGGAAGAAGUGGUCCAGCUUGCGGAGAGAGCUGGAUUUGACGUCGAGGCUCUGGAACCCGGAUUCAACCACGAGAUGGCCAAUCUUUACGGGAUCAUACAGUCGGCCGACGUUCUUCUCGGUGUCCAUGGAGCAGCAAUGACACACCUGCUGUUUAUGCGACCGGGAUCACUCCUCCUCCAAAUCGUUCCACUUGGAACCAAGAGCCCGUCUCGGUCGUUCUAUGGAAACCCGGCCAUGAAAGCUGGUAUGCAGUAUAUGGAGUAUAUCGUCGAAGCCAGUGAGAGCAGCCUGUUGAAACGCUUUGGACAGAACCACUCCGUGAUUGUGAGUCCUCCAGAGAAUCCAGGAUCGUCUUCCGGGUGGAGCGAUAUGAAGAAGAUCUAUCUCGACAAGCAGAACGUUACUAUCUCGCUUUCGAGGUUCGAGCCAGUUCUUCGAGAAGCCUUUGAGAAAAUCUCAUCUCUGUGACCGACGUGGAUCCGGCAGCGCAGCAUGUAAAGAAAGUUCUUCCCCUCGGAGUGGUUUGUGAUGAGUUUUCGUUUCUUCCAGCUAGCCAGCGUUGAUGAUCCCAGCUAGAACAACAUACGGAGCUGCCUUCUGCGGAUUGAGAUGAGAGACCAACUUCGUUCCUCGGCCCCGAUCACUCUGGAGCUUGCAAGAACUCAGCAGAGCUGUCCACUGGCCGGUACCGGGAAUGAACGGCAUGCUUCCGAUGAGAUCUUCCGCCUCGUUGAGCUCUCCUGCUCGUCCCAAAAUGUCGAUCAUCAGACCGUAAUGCUCCCUCGCGGGAUUCACUCCAUGGUCGCCAACCAUGGAGCUAAAGCAGCACAACGCGUCUCUCAGCACCCCAGAGUGAGUGAAACCACUCAGUGUGCUCAUCAUCGUCAUGUCGUCGGGGUGGAACCCUUCCACCACCAUUUGCAGCUCCAGAUCCAGCGCCAACUUCCCUCUGCCCGAGUUUGAAAACACCGAGAUGAUCGUGUUCCAGGAUGCCGUGUUCUUCGCAGGCGUUCGAUCGAAUAUGAGCUUUGAUGAUCCAACAUGGCCGUUGUGAGCGUAGGCAGCAGCCAGAGCGUUCCAGGAGACCACAUCCGGCUCUGGAAUCUGGUGAAAGAACUCCAUCGUCUCCUUGAGGAACAAUCCUUGAGAGAAUCCAGUGAGCAUCGCGUUCCAGGAGACCAGGCUGUGUAGAGGCAUCGAAUCAAACACCGUCUUGGCGCCGAGAGCAUCGUAGUGCUGUGCAAAAGCCGCGAGAAGAGCGUUCCAGGACGAGACAUCCCACCGCGGCAUGAGAUCAAACAAAACUCUUGCCUUCUCCAGUUCCCCAUUGAAGGCAUAACCAGCGAUCAUCCCAUUCCAGCUGACGAUGUUCCUCUCUUGCAUCUCGUAAAAGACCUCCUCCAUCUUCCUCACUCGCCGGAAGCUCCCAUAGGCCGUGAUCAUCCCAUUGCAAGAGAUCACAUCCCAAACAGGCAUCCUCCAGAAGAGCUGCUCGGCUGACUCCAGAUGCCCAUUCUGGGCAUACGCUGCGAUCAUCGCAUUGAGCGCCACGACGUUGAAGCACGGGAUCCUGGCGAAGAUUUCUUCUGCCCUGGCGAGAUUACCUCUGUCGGAGUAGGCGCUGAGCACGGCACUGCUGGAGCACACAUCCCACUCCGGCAUCGCCUCGAAAGCCGCGAUGGCGCCAUCGAUCUGGCCGCUGUGAGCGUAGCACCCGAUUAGGGUAUUCCAAGACACGAUGUUCUUGAGCGGCAUUGCAUCGAACAGAGCCCUGGCGGCGUCGAUCUCCCCGUUCCUGGCCAGCGCCUGGAACAUCGCGGUGCUGGACACGAUAUUCCACUCGGGCAUCGCAUCGAAGAGCUCCUUGGCGAGGACGAAUUGCCCGCUCUCCGAGUAGCCCUGGAGCAGCGAUGUCCACGAGAUGAUGCUCCGGCACGGCAUUCCGGAAUCGAACAGGCCCUUGGCCUCGCCCAGAUGGCCGUUGGAUGCGAGCGCGUGGAGCAUCGCAUCGCGCGCCACGCUAUUCCGGAAUGGCAUGGAAUCGAAGAGAUCCCUGGCCUCCUGCAAAUGCCCAGCCUGGGAAUAUGCGACUAGCAGCGCGGUAUCGGCCAUCACAUUCCUCUCCGGAAUCCUCUCCAGCAAAUCCCGCGCUUCAUCGACAUGCCCAUUCCGGGCAUAUGCGGUGAUCAUCAUCGUCCACGAGAACUCGUUUGGGUUGUCAAUGCCAUCGAAAACCCGGCGCGCGUUGGCCACACUCCCGCAUUUGCCGAACAUUUCAAUGGCGAGAUUGCGAAGGUAAGUGCUGCUGCGGCAUCUGCUGGAGAGAAUCGAGGCAAAGAUUGCAUUUGCCCUGACGGGGUCAUUUUCCACACCGCAUUUCCUCAGUAGCAGCGCAUACUUAUCCUCGUCAACCAGGAACAUGAGAGUUCUAAGCCGUGUUCCUUUUGCAAGUGGCAAAUAUGCCAAAAACUUGUAUAAAUGUAAAUAUGUUCUGUUUUAGAUCUUAGAGCGCCCACCUUGCUAGAUUUAUUGCUGACCUUGUCAAAGGUCUAGCAAAUGUAUGAAGAACAACUUACUCGUGAACAGUCGUGUAAACAGUGGAGUGAUAAUGGAGAGAUUUGGAAUGAUCCCAGCUCGGGGAUCUUGGAUCUUGGACCUUGGUGUUACGUACACGACAAGCUAUAAGAAUUUGUGGGUUGGUCGUACGUACGGAAGCAAAAGCAAAGUGUUUGAUACCUAAUCGAAGAUCAUUCUUUCAAUAGCCAAGCAAGGUGGCGGGGAUCCAUAAGUUGGCGCAAGUUUCCGAGGCGCGCAAGCUAGCAUCAACGCUUCGUGGACACAUGGACCGUAUCAAACACUGCUCAAGAUUUUUCUCGCGAGUUACGUGGCACCACUCAAGCGCAGCACAUCUAGAUCUUCUGGAAGUUUAAUUAACUCAGACACGAGCAAUAGUUAAUCUUUUAUUAACGAACUCAAUCUUAGAGAAAUUAAACUAGAGGCUCGGGCAUUUGGAUUGGCCGCGACUGUGUUGCCAUUGCUCGAGUGAUUUGAUCAAAGUUUUCAAGGUUUUGUCGCUGAUUAUAGACGAGGUUUUUGUGUGGUGCUCACGGGUGACGUGACGUGACGGGCGGGAUCCUUGGGUUGCGACGGGCCACAAGCGCGUCAACGCUUCACAAGCACAGUGCCACCCGUCAAUCUCCCAGCCACUCUACCUAUAUGGGCACGCAUCACCCCACCAUUUCUCUUCGUCUCUCUCUUUUCUCUCUCUCUUCUCUCGCACUAGUUCUUCGCUGGCUUCUCUCGCGAUCGGUGCCUUCUCUGGGCGAUUCUCUUGAAUCUGGCAGCUUGAUGCUGCCGCGGGGACGAUUCGCGAGCGCGCGAGCUUCCCGAAGAUUCCACUCUAGGUCUGGCGGCGCUUUUCUUUCUUCGAUCGAGCAUUGAGGUAUGAAUGCCUUCUUGUGCUUGGAUUUCUUCUCUCUUUCUCUCUCUCUCGUGCUAAUUCUUGCUUGGGCUUUGUUUUCCAGAAGUUUUGUACCAGCGGCUAGCUUAGAGCUACAUUAUUUUUCUUCGCGUCCCGCGAAAACAGUGUUUUUUUCUUCUUCUUCUUCUUCUUCCUCUAUUGCCUCUUUUGUGGAAAAUAACAAAAGAGCCCGUUUUGUGGGUACGACUUUGUGGAUCAUUGACUCUGGGUGGAGAUCAAACUUAUCCCUUACGCAAGUGUCUUACAUUUUCUUUCCCAAAAAGGUUUCCAAGUUCCAAGCACACACCAUGGGCUGUGCGCUCACCAAAACCGAGGACGAGCACAACUCGGUGCAAGCUCCCGUCCAGACCGAGGAACUCUGCGUCUUCUCGCCCGGCUUGCGGCUCCCAAAGUCACUGGAACUCGCAAACUCGGAUCACCUCCUCCAGGCCUCUGCGAGAAAUUUGCUGGAGAGAUUGAUGAGCGUCCACUCGAGACUUGCCGCCGCGGCGCAAGAGCUCGUCUCUACAAAGAAACUCAAGAAAAAGAGGUCUUCGCUAACUGGUAACCCGUGCAUUCUCUGCAGAUUCUCUCGAUCAUCAAACUGACUGUUUGUUUGUCCAUUGUGAUCGUGUUAGUCUCGAACAUAACACAGCUUAAGGAGGCCAUUGACGACUACUUACCAGUUCUUCUCAAGCUCAUCCGGAAAGGUACGCUUAAGUUACGCGAAAAGCUUUCGGUCUUCUUAGGAUUGUCCAAACUUACCCUUUGGUUUUCGCUCUAGAGCCACGGUUGGCCGACCAAGUUCUGUUCACUUGGACAAACCAAGAGGACGAGAUAAAGGUGCGGGAAGAACUGUGCUUGUUUGCAUCUCCUCGUCUUUUGUCUAACUUUUGGGAAAUCUCUCUUUUGUACGUCGUUGAUUGCAGGAAACGACGCUGCAAAGCCCGUAUUACGAAGUGCUGUCUGUGCUACAGCUCCUGGCGACGCUCUCGCUGCUGGAAGCGAACAGGGCUCUCUUGUUUAAACCUGUAAACUUGGAAGCCAGCCAUCACAGGCAGAUCAUGGACGGUAAGAGCCUUGAAUGCGUUCCUUUAUUUUGUAGAGCGCGACCUUUACCUCUUUCUCCAACAGAAACCAAGAAGUCUGCCAUGGAUGUUCUAUUCAAAGCUGCAGAGAUAUUGGAAUGCGCGCUUAAAUCUGUCCUCCCUCAAGCCCCUCGUGAAGUAAGGUGAGUUUAAAGUCUGCUAAAUUGGUGUUCCAGAGCUCGUUCGUUGUCUGAUCUUGUUUUUCUUGUUUAAAAACUAGCAGGAAUCAGCUGCCAGUGGACUUAAAGGAGGGCACGCUGCAGGCAAUGCAGCUCCAAGCGCUAGGACAGGUGAGAGACAGCAAAAAAAAACACUCUUUUUUCCUUUAGUUUUUUGUCGUAGCAGUGCAGUGAUAUUUAUUUUUCUCUGGACUGCUUUUGCUCAGACUGUUGAGAUCCAACUGGGCCUGGCAGUCGACAAUCCGAAAGCAACCAUGGCAGUGAAGCGUCGAUUAGCAUGCGAGGAGCUCAAGUACUGGCAACAGGCUUGUUUCUUUGCUCGAUCUCUCUCGCUCAACUCCAAAAACUAAACUUUUUCCUUCAUUGUCUUUUGCAGGCCUACGAGAACUUGCAAGCUGUAAACCUGGGAAAUGGAUGGGGUGACAAGCAUUUACUUUUCAUCAGAUGGAAACGGGCCGAGGCCAAGGUAAGCAAUCUAAGCAAAGUUGAUCCCAGCAAUCUAAGCAAGAGUUUUUGCCUUCUGUGGAUCAAAGGUCGCAGCUUAUUACUUCCACGGCCUGAUCUUAAACGAGAGCAGUGACAGCCAAGGCGCAGCAGCCUGCCUCCGGGCGUCGGCACACUUCUUCAAGGAAAGCGAGAGAAUUUGUGGCGACUUUUGUGCAACAGCGCCCAUGACAACGAAGUACGUAGCAAGCAAAACUGUUUGAUGGUUUGUGCAUGGUUGUGGUCCUACGUUUGCCUGCGUGCUUUGGCCUUUCUAUCUUGAUUCUUCUGCCAGUCCUCGCUAGUCUUUCCAUUUUCUCAUUCCGCUUUUCGCUUUCCUUGAUCUAAUGGGAAUGAAACUAAACUCCAAGGGGCGCCGUGUGUGCAGCAGGACACUGGUUGGCAAAUCGCCAUCAUGGGGUCCAAUGAAGCACCUCUCGGAGAAAAUUUCCAAGGACGCAGUAACAUCAACACAGCACGACUUCUUCGAAGACAACAGGUAAGUUCUCGUGCUUUGGUGUAGGUGGUGUUUGGUCUGCUCCAAACACACAGGGUUUUAGAUUCUUGCUCUUGCUCGCUCGCGAAGUUUCUAAAUUCUCUGCUUCUUUCUACUGCCAUUUCCAGAGACAGGAUCGUGGAGCUACCAGAUUUCGCAUUGGCGCUGCAAGUAGACGCGUACCAAAUGCCAGAGGCCGACGAGGAAGGAGAAAUCGACGAGAAAAACUCCGCCGUGGAGCUUGGGAUUCAAAGCGGGCCAUCGUUUCUGACAGAAGAACAAAGUACACAAUACGCAUAGGGGCAAGUCAAGUAAGAAGAAACUCGGGAAAUUUUUUGACUGCGCAGGAGUUCCAAAAAAAGAAAAAGGUGGUAGAAAUGCGUGGUAGCGACGCAAGCAAAUCGCUAGCGCUAGAAGAAGAUGGGCUAUCGACGUCCAUCGCGACUGUAUAUAAAUGUGCGUGUGCUUGGCAAAAUUUCAACGCAAACAAAGUAGUUUGGUAAAAUUCUAGAAGGGAGUCGUGCCGGGUGGGAAUCGAGCCGGGGAUGUGCCGGCGUGGCCACGUUGUGUGCCAGCUGGAGCGCGUGGGCUCGAACCUGGCACCAGUGCCGUCCAGGCUCAACUGGGACCGCCCUCCAGCUCAUGCCCAGCCAUGCGCAUCAUGGCCAUCAUGCCAAUAAAUACCAUCCCAUCCAAUGGAAAGAGAGAGAGAGUAGCGGCCAGCCCUAUCUUCCAUUCUUUGUUCUUGGAGCUUUUUGACAAGAGAGAGAGAGAGAGAAGAGGGAGAGCAGUCGAUCGAUCGGCAUUCUUGCGAGAUUUCUCUCGUCUCCUCCUCCAGCUCUCGAAAUGGCGAGCAGAUCCGCGUUCUUGAUCGUGGCGGCGGUGGUAGCCGUGGCCUCUAUGGCCGACAUUGCCAUGGCGCAGGCGCCCAGCCCCGCUCCAGAGGCCGGCGCCGGCACGGCAUUGGCGAUUCCAGUGCUGGCCGCGGGAUUCCUGGCAGCGCUCGCCAGUUUCUUCCUUUGAUUGGCGCGGAUCGAGCAUGAGCGGCAGCAGCAUUCUUUUUUCUCCCCUUUUUACUUCCUCUUUUCUUCUUCUUCCUCUCUCUCUCUCUCUCUGAUUUCGUAUAACGGAUGGGUCUGCUGGAGAAAUUUUGGGAUCUUUUGUAUCAUACUAUAGCACUACAGGGGCGGCUUCUUCCUCUUCCUCUCUUUUGGUUCUACACUAUCUCUCGUUGGUUCUUGUGGGUGGUGGAUUUGGAAUAGCGGUAGCAGAGUGAUGGAUGGGGAUGGGGGGAGCUGUGGGUUUUCUUCGGCCGACCUUGUUUCGGGGUGUUCUAUUUUGGAUUCUUUGUUUUGAAAUAAGGAACGAUGGUAUUGCUAGAGCACUUAGUACAGACACACCACGACUAGCCUAGAAAACACUCUGUACAGAUUUCCCAUGAAUAUACCAUCAUCUUGCAUUCUACUUCCAAGAAAGCCUCUGGAUUUCGAUUUCUCCUCUUCGUCGCCUGGGGCUGAAACGAUCGAAAGGGGAGAAUUGUUGAUCUUGUUUGGCUCACUCGAGUCUCUUGGUUGCUCCUGGGGAUCUGGAGAGGACGACAAGGAAGAAAACAAAAGAGUUGGUAUAUGGUAUAUGGUGUAUGGUAUAUUGCUUGCUUGGUUGCUUGGGAGAAUGGAGGCGGAGGCCCACCAGUGUGAGAGACAGCUCGAAUGUGUGCUGUGAAAAGUUGUGGGUGUUGUCGUACGUGAGGGAUUUCUGGACAUGGCACAUGCAAGCGCUGGCUGGAAUUGGGUACGAACGCCCGGGCAUAUACCAGAAUGUUCCAUUUAUUCCAUUUCUCAUGAGGCACGGGCGACGCACGCAAGACUGCCAAAACUCUCAGUUGUCUCUUGUGUUCUCCAUACAAAAAACUAUGCUGCCAAAAAUGAGAGUAGAAAAGAUCUCUCCGAGGUGAUCGUAGACAAGAGCUGGAUUGAACCAUCCAAAUCUAAACAAAGAGCUCACUCGGUCUGGAAAAACGAGGAAGAAAUCUAUGCACGACAUACCUCCACAUUGCCGUGUAUACCAGCAAAGUCGUCACAUACGCCGCCAUGCCAUUGGAUUUGUUUUCGCUAAAUGAGAGGUUAUAUAAAAAUAAAAGUAAAGCAUAUAUUAUAU
This 69833-nucleotide long non-coding RNA is filed under the name Selaginella moellendorffii. Its description in RNAcentral is "long non-coding RNA (SMOE_LNC001909)". Lineage: Eukaryota; Viridiplantae; Streptophyta; Lycopodiopsida; Selaginellales; Selaginellaceae. The record is from RNAcentral.